This 62830-nucleotide long non-coding RNA is filed under the name Solanum tuberosum (potato). Its description in RNAcentral is "long non-coding RNA (STUB_LNC003132)". The stretch from base 26686 to 26759 matches the Rfam family "tRNA". Lineage: Eukaryota; Viridiplantae; Streptophyta; Magnoliopsida; Solanales; Solanaceae. The record is from RNAcentral.
UUUUUUUUUUUUUUUUUGUGGGGGGGGGGGGGGGGGAUAUUGGGUUUGGGCUUAUAGAUUUAGAGCCCGUUUGGAUUCGCUUAAAAAGUACUUCGUAUUUGAGUCAAAAAAAAAAGUCAAAUUGAAAUUAACUUUUAAGUCAAAAAUAAAAAAUCAAAUUGAAAUAACUUUUAAGUCAAAAAUAAAAAGUCAAACUGAAAUAAUUUUUAAGUCAAACAAUUAAAAGUAUGGGAAGACCUACUUCUGAUUUUUGACUUAUUUUAAGUCACUUUUGACUUUGUCAAACAUUUCCUAACUUAUUUGAAGUCAUUUUUUACUUAUUUUAAGUUAUUUUUUAUAUUUGUCAAACACUUCGAAAAGUCAAAAACUGACUUAAAAGCAAGUUUAACCAACUUUAAAGCCAAAUCAAACACCCUCUUACUACAUUUACAUACUCCAUUAUUAUAUAUACUCCCUCCGUCCCAUUUUAUAUGAUGUACUUUGAUUUGGCACAAACUUUAAGAAAAAUGGAAAGACUUUUAAAACUUGUGGUCCAAAAUGAAUGAUAGAAAUUUGUGUGGUUGUAAAUCAUUUCAUUAAGGGGUAAAAAAAGACAUUUUCAUAGGCAAAUUGUUACUUAAAAUAGAAAUGUGUCAUUCUUUUUGGGACUGACUAAAAAGGAAAGUGAGUCAUAUAAAUUGGGACAGAGGGAGUAGUAUUGUUACCUAUAUUGUUCAAAUAUUAUUUAUAUUAUCAUUAAUUAAGAGUUUCCUACUAUAUAUUGAGGAAAAUAUAUAUAGUAUUGUUACCCAUACUUUUCAAAUAUUAUAUAUCUUAUCAUUAAUUAAGAGUUUCCUACUAUAUAUAUAUAUAUAUAGUAUUGUUACCUAUACUUUUCAAAUAUUAUGUAUCUUAUCAUUAAUUAAGAGUUUCCUACUAUAUAUUGAGGAAAAUAUAUAUAGUAUUGUUACCCAUACUUUUCAAAUAUUAUAUAUCUUAUCAUUAAUUAAGAGUUUCCUACUAUAUAUUGAGGAAAAUAUAUAUAGUAUUGUUACCUAUACUUUUUAAAUAUUAUGUAUUUUAUCAUUAAUUAAGAGUUUCCUAUUAUAUAUUGAGGAAAAUAUAUCUAUAUACAUGUAUUUUUGCUAUCAGAUACACUAAAAUAAGGAAAGAAGUGAGCAAAAUUUGUUAUGUAUCCUAGAUACAUGUGAAUCCACUUGGAUGCAGUGUAUCUAGAACAAAUUUCACCUGAUUUUUGUUGAGAAUAGAAUUAACCAAUAAAAGUGUGUUCUCUCUAAAAGCUUAAUCUUUUAGAUAAAAUGAUUACACACUUCAACAUAGUAUCAGAGCGGGUAGAGGUUUCUUGGGAUCAAAUCUCACCGCCACCCAUAUAAAAAAAAUAAAAAAAUCAAGUGUUUGGCCCAUGAAAAAAUAAUCAUACCUACAUGUGAGGAGGCGUGUCGAGAAUAUAAUUAACUAAUAAGAGUAUAUUAAAUUUGUGAUGUUACAAACUAGAGUGCAUCUAAAUAAUUAUCUCCUAAACUAGUGAAAUUUUUAUACGUUUCCCAUUGUUUAAUGUCAAUUUGGGUCAUACAACUUGGGUUACUUUACAAAGUAAAUAUAAAUGGAAUUAAUGAAAACGGGCCUGACAAUUGGGCUUGGUGAAAAGGUAAGUGUGGGCCAAAAUUUGUUACUCUAUUUAACACAGAUACAACUUUUUUAAAACGGGAACUUACAUAAAUAUAUCAUAUUAAGAAAAUAUUUACCAUUUAUAGCAAUAACAUUUUUUUUCACUUGAUUACUUUGAAUACAUUUAUAAUACAGUUUUAAUGCAUAUUACAAAGAACAAUUUAUUAUUCACAUAUAAUAUACAAGUUUUAUUGAUAGAUAGUACAUUUAUCACACAUUUUAAUACACUUAUAAUUCAAUGUGUCAAUUUCUUACCAAACAAGCAUAAUAUAUUUAAAAAACAGUAAUAAUGCAUAUAUAUUACAUACAUAAUUCACUUUUAAUAUUUAACAUAGUAUAUUUAUAUAUUGCUAUAAAUGAUAAUAAAUAAAAGGUAUCGCUAAAAUCGAUAAUAAAUUAUUAAAAGGUAUCAAUCCAAGUAAUUUUUCCUUUCUAAAAUGUACAUAAAAACGCUUUAGCUACUUUGUAAAUAGGCAAAAUGACACAAAUCCCCCCCUUAAGUUUACUUAUUACUAUUUUCCCUUAAUAGUUUUAUUAAUCCCCAAAAUCCCUCUUUUUCUCUUUUAAGUCAAAAAAUCUCACGGAUACAAUAUUGGGCCUUUCCUACACUAAAAACCAGAGUUCAUUCUUUUCUUAUUUCUCUCCUAAAACUUCUGCACAUUUUCUUUGACAGUUGAUUUCUCCAAUAUUCUUCAAAAUCAAGUAUCUCUCUGUGUAUACUCUAGGUAAAUUUGAUACUUUUCUUGUAAUCCUCUUUUGUUUCUGCUUAUACUGUUGAAAUACUCUUUUGUCUGUUCUUCUAACUGUUGAAUCAGAUGGAUGAUGCUAACACUAAUCGGAUAUAUGACUAUGAAGAUACUGGUUGGGAGGAGAACAUUUUUUUGUUAGUUAAUCAAUUUAUGAUACAAAAAAUGCACAAAUUCAGGUCUCUUAUUUAAUGUAUCGUUAUUAUCUGUAAUCAAUUUAUACACUAACCCUAACUAAGUCAAAUUAUGAUGUAUUUUAUUUCAACUGUUAUAACAUACAUUGUUCAGUAGAUCUCAGUCAUUAAUGUAUCAUUUGUGUUUUGUUUAUGGGUCUGUGUAUGUGUAUCUGCUAUUUCAAGUUUCAUACUAAAUAUUGUAUCAGUUACAUAUAAUGUGUCUUUCAUAGUAAAUGUUGUAUCAGUUACAUAUAAUGUGUUUUAUUUAUGGGUCUGUAUGUGUAUCGUACGUGUUUUGUUUGUGGGUAUGUUUGUGUAUCUGUUAUUUUUUGUAUCUCAGUCAUUAAUGUGUCUUUCUUAACAAUGUGUUAUAUUUUGUAUCAUCUUAAUAACAGGUUGUUAUUUUUGCAUAAUAUUCUGUUAUGAUUUUGGAUUCUUACAGACUAUGAGUUAUGUUAUCAAGCAAAUCCUUACACACUAUUUGAAAUAAAAUACAUUAUAAUUUGACUUAGUUUGUGUUUUGUUUAUGGGUUUGUGUAUGUGUAUCUGCUAUUUCAAGUUUCAUACUAAAUAUUGUAUCAGUUACAUAUAAUUCAAGAUUUAAUGUAUCGCAACUUUCAAUUUUUUCACCUGUUAUAUAUGAAGUACAUUGAUGAACAAUCUUGUCGUAUAUAAUUUGAUACAAAAAUUAGAUAACAUUCUUGUAUCAGAUACAUUAAUUCUCAAACACACUACAACAUUUAUGCUCAUUACUUCUUGUAGAAACUGAUACUUCCACACUUUACUAAUCCAAUGUAUCAUAUUCAUUAAUUCAUAAAUAAACGAAUUCAUUCAUUUUCAUUGCUUCUGAUAGGAACCGAUACUUUGACACUCUUUUCAUGCUCUGAUAAUUUUGCUCAAAUUUAUCAGCCGAUUCCUUUGCACUUUAAUAACUCAAUGUAUCAGAUUCAAUAAUUCAUAAGGAAACACAACUUUACUAUUCUGGUUGUUUAGGUCAAUUUAUCCUCAUUAGUUGGUGGCUCAUUUCACUUAACUUAUGAUACAUUAUAUAAUUGUAAAAUUGGAAUACUCAAACUGAUACAAUUUCCACAAUCAGAAUAUAUUGUACAUUAUUAACAAACAAGUGAUGAUACAUUAUUUCAACACCUAUUUUGAUAUAUUGCAAUGUUUUAUCAAGGUUAAAUUGAAAACUAAAAAAAAAACUGAAAGCACAGCGGAAUUUAAAAUAUAAUGUAAACUAAUUUGGCGUGAUUUAUGGGAUUCAAUUUUUGAUUUUCCAUCUUUAUUUUCCAUUAAAAGCGCAACAAAAAAAUAUCCAACCUUUAAUUAAUAAUGUAUCCGCUCCAUAUAUUUAAUGUACCAGUGCUGAAUUAUUGUAUCCGUGUUUUAAAUUUUUGAAGGAUUUCAGUCAUUUUAAACUUAUAAGGGACAAAUGGUCAUUUUGGUUGUAAAGUAUGUGAUUUAUGUCCUUUGCCCUUGUAAAUAUUACAUAAAUAUAAUUUGGGCAAAUUAGGCCCUUCGGCCCUUCUUCUUCUUCCUCUGUUUCUUUUUUAAAAAAUCGGCUUAUUGCAAACGUAAAUCAUUUCGAGAUACAUAUAUAUAUCAGACUCAAAACUUCAAUAGGAUUGCAUAUCUAUAAUUUGAGACAUUUGGAGGUAAUUUCAAGUUGAUCGUGAUUGAAUAGUCAAUGUAUAUUUUAUGUACAGUUAAGUUAUAUUCGAUUUUUGAGUGUAUCAUAAUAGAUAGUAUGUGUAUAAUAUAUAGGUAUAUGAUAUUGUAUAGUCAAUGUAUACUUUCUGUGACUUUUGACAAGCUAUAGUCUAUAUUGUAUAUAUUUGAAAUUAGCUCCUAAUUCGAGAAAUACGCUACUAACUACUUUCGAAUCAUGGAAAAAAUUUAAAGAGAAGAAUCGAGGGAGGAACAUAAUUGUACACAUUUUGUUAUAUGAAUAAAAUUAUGUUUCUUCAUAUUUUUUUUGUUAAUGACUUAUUUUUCAUAUAUUUCAAAUUUAUUACAAACAAUAAUAUAUAUUAAGUAUGAUAUAUAAUAUAAUGUUAUGAAAAUAAUCAUGAUAUGCUAUAUAUUUAGAUAUACUCAGUAAUGCUUCCUUACUAAUUAGGGAAAAUUUCAUAUAUGGCAAACGGAUUUUAUGAAAUAACGCUCUAUAGGUGUAGUUUACAUAAUUACAUUUCAUGGGUAUAAUUUAGUUUGCUAUGGAGCUUUAAAUAUGUAUAAAAUAUUUUUUGGGUUUUAAAUUUAUACAAUAUUUUAUUUUUUUAAUGAAUGGAAACAUGAGCACUAAAUACGAUAAUAGUAAAUUUACAUAAUCCCGUGAUUUAAGUUAAACGUCCAACAUUCAUUUUUUUUCCAAAAUAGAGUUCUACAGCGAUAGAAAGACGAUACCAAUUUGUUUCCUCAUACGACUGAAGCAUCAGAUUAAUCAAUUUUUUUGUAUAUUCAACGAUAGGUAAAAUUUCUUUGAAAGAAGCUUAUGUUUUGAACUGCAAGAGAUUAUACAAUUGAUUUGUAUAGCGUAAACAUUGAAAUUUUGAAACAAUUUUUUUCUGUUGUGUUGAUUGUAAUGUUUUAUAAAAACAAUUUUCUAUUUUCCCUUAUUUAUACAAUAUUAUAUAAAUCCUAUAUUAACAAUUUCUUUCUAAAUUUUAGUUCAAAAAAUUGAAUAAAAAAUUGAAUGACAUGAGUUGUAUAUAUGAAUUGAUUAUAUGUAUAUAUGUGAGAAAUUGUGUAAAAUUCUUAUACAAUCUAUAUGUGUAGUUAAUUGUAUAAAAUUCAUAUGUCAAUUGUAUAAAUGACAAUCGUGCAUGAAUCGACAAAAAAGGUGUGCUGUAAUUUUUAAUUUCUGGUGUAAUAUGUUUGUGUAAGGUUUGUAUAUUGUACCAUGUUCAUACUUUUGUAUAUAUGUAUAAUUACAUUCUUUUAUACAAAACUAAAAGUUUGUAUAAAGAAAUUAUAUUUGUAUUUCCUUUGUAUAUAUCUAUAUAUUUUUAUGUGUAUUAGUAUUGUAUAUGAAUAUGGUACUUAAUUAUACAAAUAUAAACUGUCUCAAGCAAUUUUGUAUAUACUACCUUAAUAUACAACUCACUAUAUGCAUUACCUUCAAGUAAUUUGUAUAUAAUUGAUAAAAUAUACAAAUUACAAUAUACAAUAAUGAUUCAGGCAUAAACUGUACAUAGACUUCAAGUAACCUUUUAUAUAACUAACAAAAUAUACAAAUAACUAAUACAAGUGUGAUUUAAGAAUGAAAUAUACGAUAUACAUAUAUCUGUAUACAAAUAUGAUUUAAUCAGAAUAUAUAUAUAUAUAUACACACACACGAAUAUACAAAUAUCUAUCUAAAAUUGUGUUUUAAGCAAAUACAUGAUGUUCUUCAGAUUUGUCCAGAUCUGAUGAAGCAAACUCAAUCUCCUUUGAAUCGUUGUUUAUGACUUUUCUCUUACUUCCCCCUUCAACAAUUUUAAUGUCGCUUGCCUUCACAUUGGUGAUGACUUUUUGAAUUACAAUUGAGUCUUUUUUUUUCUUGGAUAUCAAUUCUUCAAUAGACCUUUCAUCUUGAACUUGUUUAAAUUUUGCCAUAGACCUUGCAUUAACCCCAAAAUUCUGAGUUAACAUCGAUCGAAAAAGAAGGUGGAUUGUCAACAACUUUGACAUGCAAAUGGUGUACCUCUCGCUAUCCUCUUAGAUGGAGAUGAAUCAUCCAUUUUGUUUUUGAAAACUGAUAGUCUGAUAAGUAAGAAAGAAUUUUUUUAAAAAAUUAUCAAAAAAAGUAACAAGCAUUAUACAUAUAUAAUUGUUGAAAAAAAAGAAAGAUAUUCACCCACGAUUUUGACGGUUAUCUGCGAAAAGUGAAAACACAAUUGGAGAGAGAAGGUGAAAUUCAAAUUUCAAAUUGAAAGUGGAAGAGUGAUUUUAGGAGAAAGAUAUGGAAUGAUGAUAGGAGAGAUAAAUUUGAUUUUGUAUAAAAUUAUAUACAAAAGCAUAUAAAGGGCUCUGUUGGUUCAGCUUCGGUAUACAAAGAGGUGGUGGGUCCCAUUAAUUAUGGCAAAAAUCUGAAACUAUACUUAGUGACAGUAAAUAAAUUAAACUAUACCCUUAUUAACUAAUAACCUAGGGAUGUUUGCCAACUCGCGUAAUUUUCCAUACUAAUAAGUAGUCUUUACGAGGAUAUAAAAUUUGUAGGGAUUAAAUUGAUUAUAUUAAGUAUUGUUCUUAUUUAGUCGUAUUUUAUUAAACACAAAAAUAUGACCGAUCAUAUUUAGUUUCCUCAUCAUUUACAGAAAACUGUCAAUUUAUAUAGAUGGACAUAAAAUAUCGAAAAUUGAAUUACCGAAUCGAAAUUUUAGUUAUUUGGUAUUUUGGUAUGGUAUUCGAAGUAGAAUUUUAGAAUUAUGGUAUUUGGGUUUUUGGAUUUGGUAUCAGACAUUAGUACCAUUUGGUAUUCCAUAUUUCCCGAAUACCAAAUUAUUUACUUAAGGAAAGUCAUAUAUCAUCAUAUCCAUUACUCAUUGGUACAAAACCAAAGAGAAAGUAAAGAACAAGCAUGAAUAAUCUAAAUACAAGUCUUUUAGUUGUAUCAAUUUGCUUUUCUUGAUGUUUUCUUACUUGUUGAUCUUGUAUUAUAUUGUAUGUCCACAUAAAAAAAUAGAAAUGAUUGGAGAAAUAGUAUUAACUUUGUAAUACAAUUGGUUAUAACUUCAAUACGAUAUUAUCGAAUACUGUACCAAAUCGAAGUUUAAUUUACUCUUUCCCGAAUUACCAAACCAAAAUUUAAAAAAUUGAUUUUGGUAUCUACUUUUAACUACCAAUUACCGAAUUACCAAAUUCGAAAUUUGAGAAAUCUAAACCGAAUACUGAAUGCCCACCCCUUAUAUAUAUAUAGUGGAUCAUGUAAUUUAAUUAAGGGAAAAUAUAUAAAAGGGCCAUAAAAUCCAAAAUAAUUACAAGUUCAUACCCAAACCCAAUGUAAUUCCUAAAAUACUCAUUCUCUCAUGAAUAAUUACAGCCCAUACCCCCAUUUAUUAAAGUUGAUAAUUUUCACUUAAAUGAUACUCCCUCUGUCCCAAUUUAUAUGACUUACUUUCCUUUUUAGUCAGUCCCAAAAAGAAUGACACAUUUCUAUUUUAAGUAACAAUUUGCCUAUAAAAUGUCUUUUUUACCCUUAAUGAAAUGAUUUACAACCACACAAAUUUCUAUCAUUCAUUUUGGACCACAAGUUUUAAAAGUCUUUCCAUUUUUCUUAAAGUUUGUGCCAAAUCAAAGUACAUCAUAUAAAAUGGGACGGAGGGAGUACAAAUUUGGUGUCAUGAAGACAAGAAACAACAUAAUAAAAAAAUUCAAAAAAAGAAAAGAGAUGAGUAAUCAAACUCGUCAAGGUGCCUGAAGGAUGAUUUAAAGUGAUGAAAAAAUGAUACUAAAUAUAGCUUCAAUUUUUUUCAUGGAUGACUAAUUUGGAAGAAGUAAAUGAAAAACAAAAGAGAAAAGAAGAAGAAGGAGGAAUAAAAGAGUAAAGAUAUUUUUGUAAUUAAUGAAAAAGGGGAUAAAAAGGAAAAAAUAAAUAUAAAUAAUAAAAAUAACAGCUGGCAGCGAGUGGGCAUCACUACAUGUUGAGAAUGUGGUUGUCUAGUUUUAGGGUGGUAUAUAUUUUAUUUUUGAAAAAUUCAGGGGGGUAAUAGGACCCCCGCAAAGUAUAAGUGUGUAGUUGAGAAUUCGAUAAUAGGUUAGGGAGGCAUUUGUCUAUUUUCUCUNNNNNNNNNNNNNNNNNUUUAAAAUAUAUUAAACCAAUUUAAUAAAUUAAAGUAUGAAAAAUCAUUUUUUGAAUUGAUUGACUAACCUUUUUUGAGAAAAUGACUAAAUAAGCAUUAUUAUUUUAAUUAAUUGAAAAGGCUUUUUAAAAGUUUAUUUGGGAGAGAUCUUAACUUGAAACAAUUUUAAACGAACUAAAAGUGUGUUAAGUAAAAAAACAUUAAAUAACGUUCUUUUUAAGAACAAAGAGUUUUAAUUCAAUUAAUGAUAUAAGAUCUUAUUAGUAAAAUAAAUGAACACAAAAAAAAUAUAUAUAUUAAAAGUAAACCAACAUAACAAAAAUAACUCAUCUUUUGGGGAAUCUAAUUAAGUUAUUUAAAGUUAGAGUUAAAUAAGAUUAGUCAACACGUAAUCAAAUCAUUAGAAGAGUACGAGAGAUAAUGAAAUUGGGCCCCUUCUUGGGCCAAUUUCGCUAUAUUUUUAAGCUUUAAUUCAAUUCCCGUUUUUGGUAUACAGCUGAUGUAUAUCAGUGUAUAUCGGCAUGUAUAUCAGCCCUUUUCAUGUAUUUCUUGCUUCCGAACAGCUGCAUUUUGUCUUAGCCCUGUAUUUUUCAUUUCUUGACCUGCAUAUCGACGUAUAUCUGCUGUAUAUCGUUGUAUAUUUGCCUUUUUUCCACCUGCGUUUUUGGCUUCUAGGAGCUCUAUUUCAGCUUCCAAACUUUAUAAAGGCCGACUCAAUAAACAAAAGAAGUGUUGGAUUUCAACCCAACUCGCAAAAUGGGAGUCCAAGCAACUCGAUCAAAGGAAUAUAUGCAAAAAAAAAGAUAAAGACGACAAGGAUUAGGAUAAGGAGGAGGGUCACAACAAUUCAAUAUUUUUUAGAAAAAAUAAAAUAAAAUUACAAACAUAUGGAGGCAAAAUAAUGAAUCCCAGAUUAUAAACCUGACAUAAUUUUAAGGUAAUAAAAUUAUUGUUGUAACUAGGUUCAAUAGUUAUGAGCAUAAUUAAAAAAAAUAAAAAAUAAAAAAAAAUGAAGUGCCGACAAAGUUACACUAAGACUAUAUGGUCAGACUUACUAAGAAUCGUAUUUGUGAAAAUUAAUCAUUGGAAAGGCAAUAACUCAAGUAAAGAAUUCAAUCAUAAAUCCAUAAAUAUUUUGACACAUUCUUAACAGCAAUUAUUGUGACAGAAUCCAAACUAUCACAACAUAUUAAUACAUAACUUAGCUAAGUUAAUCAUGUAAUAAUAUAAAAAUCUGAUUCCAAAGACCAAAGAGGCUUGACAAACACACAUUGAACCUUAAAUGGCUACAUGAACGACAUAUACACUUGAAGUUUAAAGCAUUUUCUAUGAAAAGUUUAUUAAUGCAAGCCAUAGAUAAACACACGUACUGGCAUGAGAGACCGAGAAGUUAAUUUGGGCCACUAUAAUUUUUUACAUCUCAAAGAAAUUUGAAGGCAAAAUGCAUUCAAUGAAUCAUGGCUACAAAUCACAAUCUGUAUUCUAAACUAUUUUCCACAUAGCCUACACUCAAUCUUGGGGACUCAAUGGCUUAACACACAUCAAUAUUUGAACUCUAAAAAAAGGGGGUAGAUAACAAUAGGCAACAUAUACACAAUCUACGCUUAACUAUACAAAACUGAGAACCUUCAUUGGAUUCCAAUAUCGAGGAGGCAUGUUUCAAACAACCCAAAAUCAGACCAAAAUAUACUCAACCGGUAGGCACAACAACAAAAAGAAAUUAAACAUAUAAAUGAGGCAGUAAACUAUUCCUUUCACAUUAUUUAUACUAGUGGAGGUGCAAAAAUAAAAAUCAGCCCACAACAUGAAGCAUACUACUUAUAGCGACUAAAAUUUAAAAUUUUAAACGGAACCACAAACCAUAGACAACAAGAGAAGGUUAUACAAUGGGAUAAGAAGGCAGUAAUACAAAAAAAAAUCAUAUCGACAUUAAAAUGGGAUCAACCAAACUUUGAACAAAAGAAAAUAAAAUUUUUUUUUAUUAACUGUCAAUCUACAAUAAGUCAAAAUACUCCCGAAAUACUGGCAUCCUAACAACUUAGAUGAUUGAGAAUCAAACGUCAAUGCAUUAAGAACAAAAGCUACUCGAAUCGAAAUGAGUAUUACCUUUUAGGGGGCAGCGAACUGAGACAAGAGCGAGCAGGGCAGCAACAAACUUCUUCCAACACCACAAAAUUUGAAUCUCGAGCAGCUAACUACGGAGUGCAAAUCGGACUCGCGCAAAGAUUUGCUCACAACUUAGGAUCAGAGAAAACGUAUGAUAUUUCUUAAAUAUAAGAAUGAUUGUUCUCUAACAAAUUUCCAAACCCAAAAUCUCUCUUUUUCAAAAGAAAUCCCCCCCAAACCCAAGACAAAGAUGGAUUUUAUAUAGGAGAAAAAUGAAUUCCAUUAGAGGGGAAACGGAUUAAAAAUUUCAAUUUCAAAUCCCUUUUUAUCCGGAAACAGUAGAAAGGAUGGGGUGAGUAUGGGCGCUGCAGGGUAGUUGAGCGAGAUUUCCAAGUUUGCAGCGCAAUUUGCUCGCUGAAUUUCGGUGUUCGCGUGAAGAAGAAGAGUAACAGGGUCGGGUACUGUUUUGGAGUGGGUUGAGGCGGCUGGAAGAGGCUUUUUGUAUUGUUAUGUAUGUAUUUGAUGUAUGGGAGUGUAUUAUUAUAUUGUUGCAUGUAUGGGUGGGCUGGGAAUAUUGUGGAGAAAAGGAAAUGGGCUGAGAAGUGGGAAUGUUAGGCCGGCUGAUUGCUGGAUAAAGGUAGAAAAGGGGCCCAAAACUUGGUCUUAAUAAGUUUAAGGUGGGGUAGAAAUGGGCUAGAAUUAUAAAAAGAAAAUGGCCAUUUGAAUUUCAACUUAUAGCCAAUUGGGAUUAAGAAAUAUAGCCAAUUUUGAAUUAAUUACUGAAAUCGGCUAAAAAUUAAAUAAGACGAAUUUAAUAUAAAUUAAUUAAUGAGCUUCUUAAUCUUAACGAAAACAAAAAUAAAUUAACUUAAUUAUAAACUAAUUAAUUCAAUUACAAAAACUAAUUAACUCAAAAUUACAACUAUAACUUAAAGCAAAUUAAUAAAAUAUUUAACUAAAAUGUAAAAUCUUUUGUGAUAAUUUUCAAAUAUUUAUAAAAUAGCGUGAUUGCAAAAAUAUACAUACUUAUUAUUAAAAAGUGAUAAAAUUAUUUUAUUUUUUUUUAAAAAUAACUUGAAAGUAUUUUGAAUUUCAUAAAAUUUAUUAAAUCAAAACUAUAACCAUUCCUAAUAUUUAAAAUAUAAUAAUAAUAAUAAUUAUUAUUAUUUUAUUUUAUUUUUGACGAUUUUCGAAUAAUCAUAAAAUAUACUAAUUAUAUACAUAAUUAUGUAAAACAUGUACAUCAUCUAAAAUUUAUGAAAAGUGACAAAACUAUUACAAAAAAUCUUGCAAACUAUAUUAUUAUUUUUUUUGGAAACUUUAUAAACCUAAUUAUUUUAAAUCGUUUGAAAUUGGAGAAGCUCGAAAUGAUUAAUUUAUAUUGUGGAGGGUCAAAAGUGGGUGUCAACAAAUACUAUAAAGUAUAUAUUAUGGUAUCAUUAAGGCUUCAUGUUCAAAAAUUACUCAUUACUCAUUAGUCAAUGAUACUAUAAGAGUAUAUAUAUACUCUUAUAGUAUCAUCGACUAAUGAGUAACUUUUGAACAAGAAACCUUAAUGAUACCAAUAAUAUAUAUAUAUAUAUAUAUUGAUUUAGUAUCAAUCAAGCAAAAUUAUCAGUCUUAAUGAUAUCGAUACAGUAUAUGAUACUGAUUUAUUAUCAGUUAAGCGAAACUAUCAUUCUUAAUGACACCAAUACAAUAUAUGAUACUGAUUUAGUAUCAGUUUAGCGAAAUUAGUUGGGGGUAUAUAGUGUAAUUAUUUAGUGGGGUAUGAAUGUAACGAGGUAUAUGUUUGUAAUUGUUUUGCUUUUAUGGGGUAUUUCCUUAGUUUCCCCAAUUAGUACUUCCUUCGUCCUUUUUAACUUGUCAAAUUUUGACUUGACACACCUAUUAAAAAAAUAUUGAUUGGUAAAGUGAGUUUACCAUUGGAAAAAAUUCGCGAAUAAGCUUAUAUAUACUAGUUAAUUACUUAACAUAGCUAUAGUUUGUCUUAAUUACAAUUCACGACCUACUUUUAGCUAUAAUUACGCGGCUCAAUUUUUUAGUUUUAUAUAAUUUGCACAUUUGUAUAAUUCAAAAUUUGUAUAAUAUAAUUUGUAUAACUUUUGUAUAAUUGUUUACAUUUUUUAUGUUUGUAAUUGUAUAAAUUAAUUAUUACAAGUUUAUACAAAGUAAACUGAAUUAUACAAAUGUACCCGCGAAUUAUACAAACCAGCGAAUUAUACAAAUCUGUGAAUUAUACUAGCGAGACAACUUAAACUGUAGCUACAACCCAUAAAUAUGCAAACUAUAGUUAUGGUGCAUAAUUAAGUUUAUUAUAGUGACUAUUUGCGAAAGUUCCUCUUUAUCAUUUACUACUAUUAAUUGAUAGGGUCCUAAAUAAAUUGAAGGUAUAAUUGAAAAAAAUAAAUUCUCCUUUCUUAUUUGUCAAAAUGACGAAUAAAAAGGUAUAUCAAAUCAGGAAAUAUUGACAAGUAAAAAAAGGAAUGGUGGGAGUAGUUGUAGAUUAUGAUUUACUUUACUCAUUCAUAUGUCUUUAUGAAAGUUCCCCUUCUCUUCUUUUGUUUAUUUUUUUAAAAAAAGUUAAAGCUUCUAGAAAAUUUUCAGUGCUACCUUGCAAGUUGCAUGGAACUAGAAAAAGAGAAUAAAAGAAUUAUAAUGGCUCCAGUUAAUUAAUUCCUUUAAUUAUGGAGAUCUUUUUGUGUCGAGGGGCUGCAUCUUUCUAACUAACUAAAUAUUUUUUUUGAUAUUUAAUAGGGGGCCUGGCAAUUGGCAUCAUGACUUAACGCACUGUUAUUUUGAUAGAUAUUUAUUUGCACUAGGAAAAAACUAAAUCAAAUUAACAAAUUAUGAUUAAAUAAUUUAAUAUUUUGAGAAUACAUACUAAUUGAUCAUUGUUAAAUAAUGUAAGUCUACGCAUAUGCGAACACAUCGAAUUCUUCUUUUGGAAUAUUAAUAUCGAUAAUCGGGUGCAAUUAAGAUUUUAUCAUAUUAUUAUUAUUACGCAAGAUUAAAAAGAUUCGAAAAGAUAUUUCAGUAUAUUUUUUCUUUAAGAAUUUUGUCAAAUUUUUGUUUCUUUUAUCGACAAUUUGACUAUAAGAUGAUGGCCCCGCUGAAUAUUUCUGAUACAAGUAAUAAAAAGGUCAAACACUCAAAUUAUUAUUAAUUGGCCGGUAGAGAAUCAAGACAGCCCAUGUUACCUUUUAUCGGUUGAAUAAUAAUGUACUCCAGUAAUCAAUUUGCAGGUAUAGUGUGACAAUAGUUUUUUGUUUAUUUAUUUUUAUAUAUAAUCUAAAACAUAUUUAGUGAUAAUUGAAUUAAUGUCAUUAUAUUUAAAGUUCUUAAAGCUUUUAGCGAUAUAUAAAGAAUGUUCUUUAUAAACAUUAUAUUUAUUAUUAUUAUUAAAUGUAAAAUAAUUAUAUUAUUAUCGUUAAAUAAUUAGAAAAUUCUUUAUUUGUUAUAGUGGACUAAUAACCAAAUUUAGUAAUUACCAGUUUACAUCUAGCAAGCAACAACUUUUGGUCAUAUUUAUAAGUAAUAUAUAAAUAAUAGUGUAAAUCAUAGGCAGAUAAGUAUUUACCCAAGAAACAACUUUCGGUCAUAUUUAUUAGUAAUAUAUUGACAUAUUUAUAAAUAAUAAAUAUCGUAAAUUACGAGAAAAAUCAUUAUAAUAGAGUUAAAAAUAUGAAGGAAGUCUCUUAAAUUAUCUCAAAAACUAAUUAUAGUCUGUAAGUAGUUGUAUAUAUGGAUAAUAUAAAGAGCAGCUUUCACAUAUAGCAAAUACAAAAAUCAUAUUUGUAUGUUAUAACUAUAGUUUGCAUAAUUGCGCUCCAUAACAAACAAUAAAUGUGUAUAUUUCACUAUACAUAUACAAAAGAAAGCAGUUGUAUAUAAUCUAUUUCUGUUUCGGUAUACAUAUACAAAAGAUCAAUUGUAUAAUCUUUGUUUGUAUAAAGCUAGAAAGAGAGAAAUGCAAAAGAGAACUGGGCAGAGAAAUAUUUGUAUUGUAUAAUUAUAAGUGUAUAGGGCAAAUAUAUAUGUAUUUGCAUGUGUAUAUACAAAUUUAUCUCGUUUUAUACAAACAGAAACACAAUUUAUACAUUUUUGUUUGUAUAAGCGAGAGAGGCUAGGGAGAGACUGGCGAGCGAGAUCUGGGAGAGGGGAGAGAGGGGAACGAAAAUAUAUGUAUAUAUACAAUUUUCUCUCGCUUUAUACAAACACAAAUGCAUUUUAUAAAUUUGUGUUUGUAUAACAAGCGAGAGAGGCGAGGGAGAGAACGAGAAAGGCGAGCGAGAUUUACCAUAAGAGAGGCGAAAUAACAACAGUUUGCUAUGGGGUAUAAUUAAAUCAAACUAUGUUUAUAGCAUUUAAUUUGAAUUAAUAGUUUGAUAUUAUAUACAAUUUCCCCUAAUAUAAAAGCAAAAUAAAUUAAAAGGGAUUAACCUGAGGCCUUGCGUUAUUAGUAUUAUACUACUUUAUUCUUUUAAAUAUUCGUUAUAUUUUUUUUUUAUCUUUUCACCAUUUUUUAGGAUCAUAAAAUUUAAAAGUCUUUUUUAUAUUUUUUGAAAUUCAUGAUAAAUCAAAAAUGGAGGUUGAACCUGGAACUGCCACAUAACUACCUACAAUUUUUUCUUAUAUUAAAUGAUGAACCAGUCACAGCUAUAGAUUCUCUAGCAAGUCUGUUAUGUCCCUUAUAAUUCUCUGUUUGGUUUAAGAGGUGAUAUUUUUUAAGUUUCAUGAACCGAUUAGGAUAAUGUAUUAUAAACUUUAUAUAUAACCAGUAACGUAGCAAUUAUUUGAUGCAAAUGAUUGAACAUUACUUAGCAGCUGUCUGUAAUCAGGAAUAAUUUUACUGUCUUUGUGACUCUGUCCUAAUUUAUAGAAUUUAAGGAAUUAAACAGUUUAAUUUCAGUACUGAAUUAAGAUAUAAAAUCUUAAAUUUUUUAUUGUUCAUUGCUUCUACUUAAAAUAAACAAGUCACACACAAAGCAAAUCUAAUUAAUCGCAAUUCACAAGGGAAGUACCUAACUUUGUCUUUUCACAUCGGCCAAACAUUAAUAAGAUCAUGCAAAUUAAAGAGGCAAACAUAUAGCUACCCUACCAAAUAUUAUCGUACCCAAUUGAUGUGUUGUUUGAUUGAUACAAAAAAUUUAAAAGAUCUUUUUUUUAAUAAUAGAAAUCAUUCUCUUCUAGUUAAAUAACAAAAUUAGAAAUUUUAAAAUCAGAAUAUUUUUUAAAUAUAAUAAUCGAUUAAAAAAACUAUUUAUCAAUCGAUUAAAUAAAAAUAUGUCACGUAAAUAAAUUGGAGCUGAUAAAACCAAAAUUAUGUCACCAGUUGCUAGGUCCAUCUAAAGUGUUAGUUUAAAGUCAGACACUUGCCCUAUUUUUAUUUUUUUUAUUUUUUUGUUUUCUUUUCAAAAUCUUGGAGUUUGGCAAAUCUAAAUUGUGGAAUAAAGUCUGUUUAGUUUUUUUUUUUCUCAUGAUUCAAAAUCAAAUACUCUAAUUAAGAAAGAAACAAUAUUAUUAUCUCCUGAUGAACAUUUUAUUAAAAAUAUUUGUCUCAUAUUACUUAAUCACUUGCUAAAUCAAGAUAGGCUUUCCAUUCUACCCCUACAAUUAAUAGUAUUAGGAAGUUUAAACUUUAAACAAAUUUUGAAGAUCUAAGAAUUUCUUUUUUCAAGAGGCUAACGAAUAUGAACAAAGGGCAAAAUAGUAAAGUUGAUAAAUCUAUUAAUGAUUUCUUAAUUAUCAUGUAAAAUAUAAAGUGUCCAUCUAAUAUGGGAUGGAGGGGUAUUCAAUACACCACAUUUUUAUGAUAGUCCAUUAGUUUAGUUACUAGUUUUAUAUAAGUUGACCACCUUAUUAAAAACACAUGUCCCAAAUUAUUUAUCCACUUACUAAAUCAAAUAAAAUUAAUAAAAACAAAUCAUUUUACUUCUAUAUAAAAUAAAAUUUAAAAAAUAUCCCCUCGUUCACUUUUAUUUGUCACUGUUUGACUUGACAUAUCUAUUAAAAAAACAAUUAUUGAUAUUGGUAUUAUACCAAACUAUCCUUAUUAAAUGAUAUUUAUUAUUAAGUCUUGAAAAAUGAUUUGGAGAAUUAGUAUUUAAUGCUGUGAGUAAAAUAUGAAAAAGUAUAAUUAUCUUUUCUUGAUAUGUUAAAAGUGAUAAAUAAAAAUGAAAAUCUAUUUUAAGAGUAAGUGAAUGAGAGUAAUUAAAUACUUUGUAUCUAUUUUGAUGAUUCUAUUCGUAAGCGUUAUGUUGUUAAGAAAUUAUGCUGAUAUUUUUAUCAAUAUAGAUGAAGAAUAAAUUAAUAAAUCAACUAUGGUGUAAAUAUAAAAUGAAUCAUUUCAUAUGAGAGGACGGAGUAUAAGUUACAAGAAACAAAGAGUGCAUCCUCCAAUAGGGACAGCUUUUAGUGCAAUCCGUUUACCCGAACAUAUCGAUGUUAAAAUACAUAUAUGACUUUAUUAUUCCAAUUUAAUAAAAUUCCACUACAUUACAAGAGCAAAACCUAGUGGCAGCCUGCAGUUUUGCGUUAUGCCAUAGUUUACAAGGAUUUACAGUAAAUCAAUUGGACAUAUCCUACUAAAAAAAUAUUAAAUUCAUAACACUACGAUUUUUUUUUUGAUUAAUUAUAAUCACUUGAUUAGUUACUACUAUUUGCAAUGUCAUUUUUUUUUUAAUCAUGAACCUUUUAUAGAUUUUUUUAAAGAAAAAAUCCAAAAUACACUAUAAUGGAUGAUGGAGUUUUAGAAUAUGUUAGUUUGCUUUAAAAAAAAUCGAUUUUUAUGCUUGAAUUUACAUCAAAUAUUAUUAAUUUAACCCUCAUCUGAAUCAAUCCCCAAUGAAUGUAAAUCCACAAAAAAUUGAACAGAGGGAGUAUUAUAUAAGUUUUUCUUUGCAGAGUGUUUUCUUUCAUUUAUUGGUUAAAGAAGAAAUUAUCAGCCUUUUGCUUUGUCAAGGAUUUAAAGAUUAGUUUUUUUUAAAAAAAAAUAAAAAUCCAAAUUAUAAAAAUGGAAAUAUGUAAAAGUAUGGAGGUUCCAAUCUUAGGCAUAAUUAUCGACGAAAAUGCUUAUUGAGCAAUUUUUUUAAAAUUAAAGAGCUCGGAUCGAAUCAAUAUUGUUAUCGGAGGGCUUGUGGCCUCUCUUUAUUUUAUUUUUUGGUAGUAUAUAUAAUAGAAGUUAGAAGAGAGAGAAAUUGUAGAGUAGUGGAAUUCUGAGAUUUGAAAUUCAUGUUAGUAUUAAGUUAUAAUAAUCAGCAUAUACAAAGUAGAAACUCUAAUCAGAUAACAGUAAACAUAGCAAAUCUAGCUAAUUUUCUUCUUUUUGUUUUUUUCUUUUUCCGUUUUAAAAAUCUCUUUCCCACUAUGCCUCACAAAAAUAUACAACAGGCUUUGAAUGACGGAGAGAGCUACCAGCACUGAUCUGUUUCCCAGUUCCUGGUAGUAUAGCCGGUGAAUCCCGACAUUGCUGAAGGAGAACAGCCGCCGGAGUACAAAUUGACACUCCGGCGCCUUCUGAGUAGGCGGCGGUCAUAAUCGGCACGUUUGUCCCGGAUCCGACAAAGUAGAAUAGGCAGAAUGAAUCUUCAUGAAAUCGUCCGCCGACGUGUCCUUCUGAUCAAUUGCCGCCACAUCAGGAUGGCAAACUCUAGCUAAUCUCCGAUAAGCUGCCUUGAUCUCCUGGAUCGUAGCGCCGAUCGGAAUCCCUAGAAUCUCGUAGAAAGACGCCGGAGAAGCAUGGACAAGGUUAGAAGGCAGCGUCGAGUACCUUGAAGCCGAUGACGUGGUAGAUUCAGUUUCGACGGAAGCACAGGUCGCCGCUGCGGCGGUCGUGAAGAUACCGGACUGACGGAAUCUGACGGAAGACGGUGAUAGAACAGAAUUGUCGCCGGAGGAAAAUAUAUUCACCGGCGGUGGCGGAGUUUGAAGAAACGAACGAGGGGAAGUAGAUAGCAUGGGCAUGUUUAGUUUUUUUUUUUUUGUGGAGUGUAAUGAGUCAGAGAAGGCGAAGGGGCUAAAGUUAUAUAGAAGAAUGGGAUGAAGUUUUAACUGUGCUGUGGCCAAAAAGAGUAACUGAAAUGUGAAAAGUUGGGGGGACCAAAAAGAAAAGUAAAUAAUGGAGGGGGCCAAUGUGUAAUUAUGUGGACAAAGAAGUUAUGGAAGGAAGGCUUAUCCGUUUUAUGUAUUUGGUGAGUCAGCACUUCUGCUUAUCCGAUUCAUCAAUUCAGUGAGUUCUCAGUUUGAUGUCAGUAUCCACAUAUUAGGUUUUUGUCUCGUUUGAAGGGUUAAGAUGAAUUUAAAAGUAUUAGAGUAAAAUAAAAUAAAUAAAUAAAUACAUAAUAUUUAAUUAAAUAUUUUUUUAAUCAUAUUUACUAAGUAUAUUUUAUACUCCCUCCGUCCACAAUUGUUUGGCAGGUAUACUAAAAAUAGAUGUCCAAGAUUAAUUGUUAAUUUAAACAAUCAAGAAAUAAUUAGUCACUUUUUUCCAAUUCUGCCCUUAAUGAUAAUGUAGUUCAAUUGAAAAGUUACGUGGACUUUUGGUAUUCUUGGUAUAGUAGGGUUAUAUUAGUCAAAUUACACCUUGUACUUGGUGUGCAUGACCUUACCCUGACAAAUAAUUGUGGACGGAGGGAGUAGUAAUUAUAUGAGUAUUAUUUCUUUCUCUCUCUCCUCUCCUCUCUCUAGCUCUCUUACUCUCUCCCCUUUUUUGUUCAAUGGUGAUGAUAUUUACAGGCAAUGAAUGAACAUCCUUGUAUAUUUUGACAUCGAAUAUAUAGGAUGAAGUUAAUAUUAAAUACACUUAAUUGAAUUUAAUUUUGAAUAUGUUGAUACAUAAAAUGGUGACGAGAGAAGAAGAGAGGCGAUUCAUAUAAGAGAGAUACAUUUAUGAGAUACAGUGUAUCUAGAAGUAAAUACUAAAGAUAAUUCAAAUAAAAUUUAUAAUUAUUAAAACUGUCUGCAUUGAAACAUUAUUUUCUGUUUCUUGAAAAUGUUUUGGUUUGAUAGUAUUUAAAUUUUUUAUUUUUUGCCAAACAGGGUUAAGCUUGUGACUUUGAGGGUCGUUAUCGAAAAUAUCAAAGAAGAAAGUAACAAAGAAAAAAUAUAUAGUGUAUUAAUUAAAGGAAAUCUUAAAAUUGGAAUGGUUGUAAACCGCUGAAACGGAAGCGGGCCCACACUCUUUAGCUGACCACAAGACAUCAAUUAUCAUUUUCCACCGCCGCUCACGUCAAUUAAUUCAUAAACAUUAACGUUAUUUUAUUUUUUAACUCUAGUUGUGAUAUACUCUUAUUCAUCAACACUACAUACUGCAAUUAAGCUUUUCAUCUAUAAUUCAAGGACAAAAUGAAUCAUCGAUUAAAUGCUCUAACCAGUAAUCAUGGGAUACACAAAUCAUAAAAAUGCAUAAUUUCUCCUCAAAAACUUAAUUAAUACUUGAUUGGAACGAUGUGGUUUGAAUAAUUUAAUAAAGACCAUAAUUUAAUUUGACAAUAAAAGGUGUGUUUUUGAUCACACACAUUUCAACAGUAAUGCUUUCUCCGUUCAAUAAUAGUUGUCCACUAUAUUAAAAAUAGUUUAGAAGAUAAAGAGAUAAUUUACAUUUUAUGUCUAUUUUAUCCUUGCUAUUAAAUACUAUUUAUCAUCUAACACAUUUCUCAAAUCAUUAAAUUUAAUAAAGUCAAAGGAUAAAAUAGUUUUUUCGAGAAACAAAGUGAAAUAUUGACAGUGACAAUUGGUAAAUUGAACCUAACAAAAAUUGUCAUGGAGUAAGAAGUAAUUAUUUAUCCUUAACCAUAUCACUUACCAUUGAUAAUCUUGUGUGUCUACCUUGUAUGCAUGAUGGGUUUAAGUUUUAUGUAUUAUUCUUGUAAAAAUAUUCACGCAAUUUAGUUAUAAGUUACAAUAUUUUAAUUUUUUAAUAAAUAUUAAUUGAUAAUUUGAUUUUAAAAUAAUAUCAAUAUGCUAUUAUAAAUCAAUAUUUACCAAUAGUAUAAAGUCUUUAAUUUACACUAUUAAUGAUGAUAAUAAUAUAUAUAGCUUAAAUCCUUGGCUUCUCAACACAUGAUGGUUCAGUUAUUGACUUAUAUUGCAGCUCCCAUGUGAUUAACCAAUAAUUCAUCACUUUAAGAAGAUUAUCUCUAAAAUAAUACAAUACUAAGUGAUGUCCCAAACGGUACGCCACUUAAGAAAAUUAUGUUUAAAGAUAAGAGUGAUCCAUAUCUCUAUCAAACCAUAGUGGACAUAGACAACUACUCUUAUUGUUAUCUAGUGUCUGCUAAUUCAUAGCAAAGAGUUCUAUUCUAUCAAUCAAUUAUAAAACAUCUUUGAAAAAAUCAAACAAGAUAAAUUAUACCACAAAUUUUAAAAAAUAAAGAACAAAUUUUGAAACUAUCAAUUAUUUAUGCAUGCAUUAAUUUGUGAUCACCAUUUGUUUCCAGAAAACCUGUCAAAAUCAUCUCAUGGAAAAAAAUGGUUCUAGAUAUGGACAACACAUGCAAGCACCAAAAAAAGAAGAAUUAAAAGUCAUACUAUGCUUGCAACUAUUAGCUAAUUGAUGAUGCAUCUUCCAAUGAAAUUGAAUAGACCAUUUUUGUAAUAUUUAAAGGACUUUUUUUUGCAUACUAUCGAUCAACUUGGAUGGAGAGUUAUAAAUAUAUUUUUUCCACUCACAAAGUAAUAAAAUAAAUUUUAAGUGGAGUAUAUACCCAAACGCAAUUUGAACUUCCUAAUGUCAUUUAUUAACUUCAACUUGAAAUAUUUUUUCUUGCCUUUCAUAUAUUACUCAAAUUCAUGUCCACUAUGAUAAAAAUAGCUUUUAACGGUAAAAAAUAUGUACAUUAUUAAAAGUGAUAAUGUCUUUAACGACAUUAGUUAAUUGUCAUUUCAAUGUCGCGCUAUAAUCUUUAGAGACAUUUACAAAGAGUGUUAAUUGCUAUCAAAAAAUAUAUUUAGCAGCAAUUUAACUAUUACCUUUAAUUAAUUGCCUCUAAAGAUCAUUUUUGAUGUGGUGUUCAAACACCCGUUUAUUGAUUACUUUACAAGCUUUUUUAAUUUAAUUUAUUUUUAUAUUCCAGAUACAAUUUCAUACAAAAUUGUACAUACAUCUCAGAUAACGUAUGCAAGUAUUAACAAUGUGCAAGUAUUAGCAAUGUAAUAAAUUACUUAAUAAAGUACUAUAUUGAAUUAUGUGAUGAUGAUGUCUUCUUAUACCACUAACUAAACAUUUACAUAAUAUUAACUUUAUGUUACGAUUAUAUCUUUUUGUUCAAUAAACUAAUAAACAAUAUUGUAGAUUAAAAACAUAAAAUAAUGAUAAGUUAAUAACCAAGGUAUAGUAAUAAUGUGCUUUACGAGGUCCCAAGAGUCACACAACAAAGAGUUUGGUGUUUCUUGAAUUACUAAUGAGGGAUCGUUUUCUUCUAUGCUAAACUUGUGUUUCCUUAAUUUGACCCCACUUCAUAUUGUUUCUCUAUUAUGGUGUCUCAUUAAUUCUCUUCUCUUUCAUAUUCGAUUUAUGUUCUAAUUAUAACCAUAGACAAUUACAAAGUUAUUAAAUUUAUUUUCAUAACAUGACAUUAUCUUCUCACAUUAUCAAAAGUCACUUUACCAAUAAGUGUCUCCUAAUCUCUAAAAAGUAGUACUUUACAAGAUAAAUGGAUAAAGUUAGAGGUAUGUACCCUCCAUCUUUUCAGACCCCCACUUAUGAAUAUAUUGUUGUACCUUACAGCCUAGCCCAAAACACACAUGUGACAUACUUUGCGUUUUCAACAAAGAUGUCAUAUUUAAAAAUAAAUAAAUGUGUCCCUUUAACAUUUUAAAUUGUUAGAUGAUAUGAUCGCACACUUCAACAUAGAUAUUAGAGUAGGCAACUAAAGCAAAGCAGUAAUAAUGGGACGACAAGCUUCAAAGUUCAUCAAAAACAUAAAUAAAUUGAGUUGAAGAAUUCAACAAUCAGUCCCUUUAAAUCAAAAUCUUCAGAUUUUUUAUAUAUAUUUCAAUGGCAACUAAUUAGGAAUAAGGAGACGGAGAAAGUGUUUGUACCCUUUUUUUUCUUUAUAGAUAUGAUGAUACAAAAUGUAAUAUACUUGUUAUGUUUGAUAAAUAAAAAAAUACACAUAUAUAUAUUCAUUCAGUAAUAUAGAUCGAGUCUUAUUUAAUAAGGAGGAUUAAAAAUUUGUUUUGGAUAUUUGUGUGAGUGGGAUACCAAUAUUUGCAUCAGUGAUCCAUAUAUAAAUGAAUAUAUAUGCUCGAAACGCCCACAGACUUAGAAAUUAGCUUAUUGAUUAUAAUAACAUCAUCAUUUUAUUUUAGUAAUAUAUUCCAAAAGCAUGAUGGACAGUUAUAUAGACGUCUACUGUCCGCUGAUUCACCGGCCCAAGACUAUUCUUCAGUGACAUUUAUAUUUAUAUAUACUAUAAGUAUUAAUCAAAUGACUCAGAAACCACAUAUUAAGAGGGGAAGAAAAGAAUAUUCAAUGUUUCCAGAAAAUAUGUCAAAUCAGCUCAAGGACAAAAGGUUCUAGAAUCCAUGGGGACAUUUUAAGGCAGAAGUAGUGUCACCAGGCAGCUUUCCUGCUCUUCUUUUUCUUAAAAUUUCUUCUCUAAUGUCAACAAUCUUCCCCUUGUAAUCCAAGAAAACCCAAAAAAAAAAAAAAAAAAAGUAACACACUAUAGGCCAAAUUGAUGAAGCAACUUACAGUGAAAAUAGACCAUUUUGUAAUAUUUUAUAACGACUUAUUGUUGCCAAUAUGUUGAGUUACGGUGAAAGUAUAAAUAAUAAAUCACCGGCCCAUUACAAAAUUAAUCGAAGGUCAAUACCAGCUCUAAUAAUAUGCUUUACAAUAUCCCAAGAGUCAUUUCAUAACGAAUACCUCACUUAAAUUUAACACUCCUUUUUUCUGUUUUCUUCGGAUAAAUAUUCUUUCUGUUCCUAAAUAUUUGUUAUUUUUAAUAAAAAAUAAAUUAUUCAAAAUAUUUGUUAAAAAUCUCUAUUUGUUAUUAAAAGAAAUUAAGACAUAAUUAAUUAUUGAAUAUCAAUGUAAUGCAAAAAAAAUACUUAUAUCUUAAAUUAAUUUAGUCAAAUUACUUCCUACUUAUUGUUUUCUUCUAGAGCUUUCAGCCUGACAUACUAAACUUGUAUUUCUCUAAUUUGGCCCUACAUCUAUCGUAAGUAUCUGUUUCUUUUUUAUUACUCCUUUUUUUUUUUUUCAAAAUUUGAUUUGAAAUCUUAUUGAAAAAUAUUCCCUGUUCAAAGAAAUCGUAUCUAAAUACAUAACUUAUUUUACUAUAUUCUAUCAAAUUUCCUAUCAAUUGAAAUUUUUUACUAAAAUUUCUAUUCUCUCCUAUUCUUGAAUACAUCAUUGUACACGAUGCAUGUAUCGAUCAAAUACAUCACUAUAUGCACUGUAUCAGGACGUAAUACAUCACUUUACACGAUAUAUCAAUCGAAUACAUCACUAUAUACAUAAUGUAUCAGGACGUAUGCGUUGUAUUGGGACGUUGAGUAAUGUAUUUGAAUUCCACCUAAUUUAAGAGAUUUUUGUAAUUUAGAAAAUAGAAGAAAUAUGAUGUAAUUAGGUCUUAACACUAUGAAAUUUGUGUAAUUUCCUUAAAAAUAAUAUCAAUCUAUUCUAACAUGUUAUGUUCCAAAUUAUUUAAGAAUCAAUUAUAAGUCAGUGUAAGAAUAUACUUCUUCCGUUUCAAAAUACUCAAGUUUUUGAACGGUAGGGGCAUUAAUGUCCCAAAAAUAUGAUGGAGAGUAUCUGCAUAUCAUUUACGAUAAUUUGGGGAUAUAUUUAUCUUUUUUCCCUUUUGAGAAUCAAACUAUACAAAAUUUGACUAAUUUUAAGAUAUAUAUUUUUCAUCGUAUUGAUAGGAGAAAAUUGUAAUUUGCAGUACUUUUAAUACAAUUUUUGAAUAUAUAAAUUUUAAUUUUAAAAUUAAUCAAAUUGAAAAUGAAAUGUGACAAAUAUUUUAGGCCUAAUCCAUCAGUGGCCCCUUAAAGUUGGCACAAUGUUUUACUUAAACACCCUAACUGAACGAUGUUCAUUUUAGACAUCUUAUGUAAGAUCCCGCUGUGUCAUUUUGACACCUUGUUUAAUAUCAACAAAAACAUAUAAUGUGUGUGUAUUACCCUGGCGAAUGAUGUAUAAAGUGACGAAUUAAACCAUGACAUUUGUCAUUUAUGUCAAAGUAAUUUUUAAAUAAUUAAUAUUGAAUAAAAAUAAAAACUGACCAAUAAACUAAUGACAUGAAUAUUUUUUCCCAAAAUAAUUUAAAAAUAAAAUAAACUCCCCAAAUAAUAACAAAAUAAAACAAAAUUUAAACUAACCCCACAACCCCAAAUCACCUGCCCCCAAAUCCCCACCCCAUCGUCUUCUCCAACCCCCCCACCCCCAAACCCGAUCGCCUUCUGCAACCACCUCGCGCUUUCUCCUCCAAAUAUCCGACUCCUUUUUGCAGAACGUUGUGCAACCAGUUGAUAUUUUUUUUUUUUGAUCUUCAAAUAAAUCCCCGGCGCAAAGAAUUUAAUGAAUGAGUUUAUUAAAUUCUUAAAUUUUUUUUAAAAAAAAUCCAUCUUUUUUGUUGAAACCUUCAUUUACAAUGGGUGGAUUUAACUUGAGCAAAAUGGUGGCUGAAAAUGGAGAAGAAGAAAAAUAUAAUUAAAAAUUAACUAAAUAAUCACUUCACGCGCCUAUCAAUGAGUGUGAUAAAAAAGUGUCAAAAUGACAAUGUGAAAUUCUAUUUGAAGUGUCUAAAAUGAAUAUCGCUCAGGAAAGGUGUCUAAGUGAAAUGUUGUGUCAACUUUAAGGGUCAUCGAUGAAUUAGGCCAAUAUUAUAACAUGGAUGGGAUAUUAUGAAAAACAAGUUCAAGGAUAUUUGUUAUAAAGUUGAAUCCUUCAGUAAAAUAUCAUAGAGGUGCGCCAUUAGCUCUUAAUAUCCUCACUAUCUAUCUCAUAUACUUAAUAUAAAUAUAAAUAGGCAAAAUGGUCUGGUAGACCUUGUAUCAAUUUCUAUUGCGAACCCUUCUACUUAUUCAUUUGUCAACUAAACCCUAUACUCCAUAAAACAUAAUAUAUCAAACCCUCUGAUCAUUGACUAGUCUUAUGUGGCAUUAAUAUGAUUGAGUUGGCACAAAAGCGUGGCUACACGCGUUAAAGGGGCAAGUGAAGAUCAGACUUACAUCAAAAAAAUAUUAAAAUUAUAAAAUAAUUGAUUUUGUAAAUGAAAAAUAAAAUAAAAUAAAUAUUUUACUUCUUCUCCCCCACCACACUUCUUUUCUAGCAAUCAUCCCCUUUUCCCAUCAACCCCACACACCAUCCACGCUCCAACCUCCAUUUUCCUUCUUCAUACUUAAUGUCAUUGUCCAAUUUAUUCUCUCCUCUAUCUAUUGCUAGUGAUUCCAGUGACUAUUACAACUAGUUUCUAGGGGGUUUUGGGCAUUAUUUUGUUGUUAGUUGUACAGUUUUGAGAUUCAAGAUUUUAUUUUUAAGACUUCCAUUCUCAAUGUCCCUUUUCUUAGGUUGUUGUUUUUGUGGAUGUUGGAGGAUGAAAGAAAAAUAGUGAUGGUGUGCGGCGGAGAUGAAGAUGGGUGAGGGAGAAAGUAUAUGUGAUUUUGCCGGCAAAAAUGGCGACGACGGUGGCGAUGGCUUUCUCCGCUGGAUUUUGGUCCUGAAACAGUGAUAAUAGGGAGAAUUGGAUGUAUGAAAUUUCACUUUAAAAAAUGCCAAAAUAUUAUUUUACAUUUUAUUAAAUAAUUUUGGUUAAUAAUUUUAAAAAAUAGUUAUGAAAUAAUUAUGAUAUGACAUUGAUAUAUCUGACAUGUCAAUUAUAUAAAGGAGAGUGAGCUACACACAUGAUUGGAGGGACUUAAAAAUCUCAAUUUAAUUGAGUUUAAGGGUCCAGAUGACAAAUGAGUAAAUAGAAGAAUACAAACUAAUACAAGUACAAGGGUUCACCAGACCAUUUCGCCAUAUAAAUAUAAAUAAUGAUCCACUUUGAUUUGCUUGAAGUUCAAGUGUUCGAUAAUUUAUAUAUAUUUUGGGCGAGCGUCGAAGAACAACUAGUGUUGAUCAGAAUAAUAGUUUAUUGAAUUAGAUAUUUCGAAAAUAGUUGUCGUGUGAUCGUUUUAGGAAAACCAAGGUCAUUUUUUUACUGGAUAUAAAUUGUAUUUGUGCUAUAUAAUUUAACUUCGUAGUUCAGAACAAAUGGCCCAUUAGCUCAGUUGGUUAGAGCGUCGUGCUAAUAACGCGAAGGUCGCAGGUUCGAGACCUGCAUGGGCCAAAUUUUUUUAUUACUUCACAACAUCUUCUAAUUGGUUAUAGGCCAAAGAAUUACACAUCCACUAUAAGGUAUCGAUAGGUCAAUAAUAUAUCGAAAAGUAAAAUUAGACAUUGAUAUCUCGAUUGAUGUUCUUCUAGAUAUGAUGGUAUCCUCAGAGUUAUAUAUAUUGAUUCUUGACAAGAUAAUUUGUUUUACAUAAUGACAAGCUGGUUGAAAAAUAUUGACACGCUUAUAAAAAAGGUGAUACCAACUGACCUAUAACAUUAAGUCCUGGUGAUACAUGUAUAUUUUUAUCAUUGAUCAUAUAAUCUAUAGUGACGUUGUAUUACAUACAUACUCAAAGGGAACCCCAGAAAAACUCACAAAGAAUGUACAUUUAAAACGACCAGAUUAUGAACAUUAAUUGCUGCUGGUUGUUUAGGAGAAAGCAACUUCAUGCCAAAUGCUUUUCUGGCAAACUCUGCAGGAGCCGGAGGGGCGCUGGCUACACAAGGCCAAAUGUCUCUAAUCUCAUUCAUUUUAGCGACAGAAUUGCAGCACAUGAGAACAUGUAAAUGAACGUGAUUUUCCAACAAAAUUUUCUCAUGGAUAACUUUCACAUCUCUUAAACACUCUGACUAGAUUUUCCGAGAGCCUCUGACUGUAGGACUAGUCACCAUUCGUGAACUUAUACUUGCAGUUCUUAGAAGCCUGCGGAAUUCUGACAAGCUUAUCUUUCCAUCUUUGUCGAUAUCUGCUUCUUCUAGCAGUGGGUCUAUGGAGCCUUUUAAGCCGGUAUGCUGCAUACAAGUAAAAGCCAGAUAUGAGUAUUUUUAGAAUUUUGGGGCUACCAACGAAUCCACAGUCUCAACUCUUAGUAUUUCUUUUCUACUCGUCUUUUGGUUUUAUCUUUGCAGAGUUGCGGAACAGGACAGGGUUAAAAUUUCUAGAAAGCUAGCAUUUAUAUAUAUAUAUAUAUAUACACAACAGUGUUGAUCACUUGAAGAAGAAAAUACGACAUACUAACCAUUCUAAGUUCCUCUGGAGUUAUGAAUCCAUCUCUAUCAACAUCAAAUUUCUCAAAAGCAGUUUGCGAUCUUUGCUGCCAUUUUAACAAAUUAUGCUCCUCUAACUGAUGUACAUGUAGAGUCGCUGCAACAAACUCCGGGAAAUCAACAAGCCCGUCUGUGUUACUAUCAAUCUGAAAAAUCAAUGAACAAAAUGCUUCAGGAUUUUGAACUACAAGGAGAAAAAACUGUAGGAAAUGCAGUAUACAUAGGCAGAAAAAAAGCAUUGACAAUCGUUGAGUAAACCCUCAGAUUAUCACAUGGACUCAUAAGCUGGAAAUUUACAGAACUACUAUGUGACAUCACAUUCCUUUUUUCCUUUUUGUGGAUGGCUCUUUGGUGCAUUUGUCCUUUUCUUUCCUUAUUCCCUUUCAGAGGAGUGGGGACUAAAUUGGUUGCAAACACGUUCCAGCUUGACGCCAUAGAAGGUAUUUCAUAGUAAUAACUUAAUCUUACAUGCCAUAUUAUAGUGAUAUACUUCAUUCCUAGAUAUAUUAGCUUACCGCUUGAAGAAUCUCAAGAACCCGUGAUUCUUUCAUCUUCCAGGGGAGAUCCUUGGCAAGUGCCUGCAUUAGAAUUGGAUGUCAUAGGAGAGAAUAUAGUUGACAAAAAUAACAUUAUAUUACAGAAUGCUUUGUUGCAAAGACAGGAAUAUAAGUGCUCGCGAUGUUAGCCAGAAACUUAGAGAAACUGUACAGGACUAGACCAUGAAAUAAGGGAAAUACCUGUCUCAUUUCUUCAAGGCUAAUAACACCAUUUUUAUCCACAUCAAUUGCAGAAAACUGGUCCCGGACAUCUGCCAGCUCCUCCUCAUCAAGUGUGCUAGCCAAUGCCUGCCGGAUAACGAAAUCAACAACAACAACAACAACAACAUACCCAGUAAAAUCCCACUAGGUGGGGUCUGGGGAGGGUAGAGUGUACGCAGACCCUACCACUACCUCGUGGAGGUAGAGAGGCUGUUUCCGGGAGACGCCGGAUAACGAAAUCAACGACAACAACAACAACAUACCCAGUAAAAUCCCACUAGGUGGGGUCUGGGGGAGGGUAGAGUGUACGCAGACCCUACCACUACCUCGUGGAGGUAGAGAGGCUGUUUCCGGGAGACGCCGGAUAACGAAAUCACAUGAAGUUAAUGUUCUCUACUUUUUAUUUUGACCUUGCAUCAGAUAAGUCUAUGAAAGUAAGAAAGCUAUGAAGUUACCCGUAAUGCAAAUUGUUUUAAUCGACUGUAUUUGACAAACUGUCGCAUGUUGGACAAGACAGAAAUGUCUAGUGGAAUCUCAGAAGCAUCACCUCCUUCACGGACCCAUGGAUGUGCUGAAAUGUUCGUAUAUAUCAGUUUGAAAAAACUACCAUUUAUUGCAUCAACAAUUCAAAGGUGAUGAGAAUACCAGUAACAUCUAAUUAAGUGAAAACAAUGAAAUAAUUAUAUGAAAAUUAUUCAAUAUAAUUAUAUGAAAUUUAACAGAAAUAUGAAAGCUAUUUAGGAAGAACUGAUAAAAUGGACAUCCAACACCAAACAUUGCUAAUGAAGUGGCUGACUCAAAAUUGACAAAUUCAGUGUAUGAAUCUUUUGGACCUUGAGUUACUUCUCCGAUAAUCAUUCUUGGUAAUUGUAAAACCUAAACAUCACUUCAAAAGAUCGUACUAAAUCAGAAUACAAUUACUUACAUAGGGCCUGGGCAGCAGUAAGUCUAGCACGAGGAUCUUUCACCAAUAAUUUCUUAACAAAAUCUUUAGCACUGUUGCUUAUAGUUGGCCAUGGCUUGCGACGAAAAUCAGGUUUGUUUCGUAGGACCUUAGCAUAGCAGAAGCGGAGUUAGAAACAAUACUAAAUCAGCUAAAAUUAAAGCACAAAGACUUUACCGAACAUGACAAUGAACAAGUUACACUUCUCAAAGGAAUAAAAUAACACAUUUGAAUAAGAUUUUAUUUAAAUAAACACCAAGACAAUCCUUAUUCAAAGAUAUAGCAGUAGCUUCGAUGAACUCAAAAGAGAACAAGAAAAUUUCAGGUUCAAGAAAUUUUAAUACCGACUAUGGAAUGCAGACUAAGCUAAUCAAGAACUAAGAAUAAUAAAGCACAACUAUACAGGAAAUUCAUCAUCAGUACCAUAUUUGGAGUAAAAUUCUGAAAUCUCAAAUGUAAAAUUGGCUAAUCAGACACAGAAUUAUGCAUUUUUUUAAAAUGUAUUAUGCAAAGUCAAUAAUGAUAAACAUGCCACUUUGACAGAAUACAAAGUUUAUUUCCUAGUAGAGCUUAAAGAUCAUAAUGCAUUUCCACAAGUUUCCAAGAAAAAAAUCACUAUAUAAAAUGUUGCCCAGCUGCAGAGCUAUAAAAAUAAAUAUUAGCAGCUCACCUCCUUGAAUAUGCCAUCCUCUGUUUUAUCCCAGAAGGGCCGACGACCACAAAGCAAAAUGAAUGUAAUUACACCAAUGCUCCACACAUCUGAUUCAGGUCCAGAUUUACGCUUUAAUACCUCUGGGGCUACGUAAUAUGCACUUCCUACUAUAUCUUGGAAUUUCUUCCCUGCAUUUAUUAAUUUACAGUUAUAAGUUUUUGCUAUCUGAGGAAGAACCAAAAACAUCUUUGACGGCUUUAACAGAUUUAUGAAGAAUUGAAGUUCAUACACCAUAGCAAAAGAUCUUUUUCAAAUAAGAAAAAUGAGUUUAAACUAAAAUAUGUCAUUGAGUAGAUUUGUGGACAUCCAAUCACCUGGUCUUAUGAAGUCUGAAAGACCAAAAUCUGUGGCCUUUAGUGGUGAGUCCUCCUUUGGAGAUUUAAAGAGAAAAUUCUACAAGAAAGAAAUGUGUGUAAGAGAAGCAACAUGAAGCAGCAUUAAUAAACCAAAGGAAGUACAUAACUUCUUGCAAACCUCAGGUUUCAUAUCACGAUGCACCAAACCAUGUAAAUGACACUGAGCGGCAACUUUCAGCAUCUGACCCACAACUAUUGCUGCAUCUUUCUCGGUAUAACGGCUGUCCUUUCUGAUCAAAGGAAAUCAUCGAUAAAUUAUAUAAGUAUUCUUCUUAACAAGAAAUAAAUUAUAGAGCAAGCACCACAGAUCACGAGAUUAAGUAAACCUGGUUUAUACCACUUACUUGGCCAAAAUGCGGUCCAACAGUUCUCCGCCCUCGCAUAACCUACAGGAAAACAAAUUUCUAAUCCAUCAACUUCCCAUCAGAUAGCAUAAUCGAUUGUUAAGCAAAGAACUAGGACCUGACGAAUCCAAACAGAGCUCUUAAUAACGAAACUUACUCCAUUACUAUGUAAACAUAGUUAUCAUCCUCAAAUGCAUUAUAGAAAUCAACUACAUUCUCGUGACCAGCUAGGGCCUUCAAUAUCUUGACUUCUCGUUUUACAUCCUCAACUGCAAUUGGAACAACCAUCUGCAACGAUUCACUAGAGUUAUGCUAUAGUUGUAAUAAACUGGAACAUCAAGAAGUUCAAGGUAAGGCAAUUGAUCAUGCAAUAGUACUAAAACUUAACAAGCGUCAAAAAGAGAAACUUCUGCAAGUAUUCGUAUUUGCAUGAAUAACCCCAUCAUUCCAGAAGGAUGAACACAUCUCAACUGGUGUGCAGAGAUUAUACGAGACAAAGCUGGAGGAACCUUUCACCAAAAGAAAAGUUUUUCUCCAUAAAAGCCGAUGGUGAACAAAAUAGUUGCAUCAUGCAUCAAUAACCAAGACUUGUGCAGUAAGUCACAGAUAAGCUAUGUUGCUCGGACUCUUCAAAAUGUCAACGGGUGCAUGUUAGAUUCUCCAAAAGUAGUGUAUUUUUGGAGAAUCCGACAGGGGUGCAGCAUCGAAAGUGAAGAGUCCGCGCAAAGAAGUUUCCAGUGCCAAUUGACUAAAAACCAGCUCUCUCUCUAUAGUCUAAACCAGGUCAGGGAAGCCAUUUUCCAUUUAACUGUACAUAAUAACAACAAGCAGCACUAAUCACAGAAAACUAAGGUCCAGUGCUUAGGUGUUUCUCUCGAUAUGUCAAUGCUUAGAACCACAACCAUCAUUAUUAACCAAACAGCUCCCAUAAACCUAUAGUUUUCGAGAUAUUUACUUAUCCCAUCAGUCAAGUUUGUAUGUACCCACGCUCCUGUUUAUUAUUUUUUAGAACCUCAGGAACUAUCCUUUCCAGCUGCCCCCUCCCCCCCGGCUUUGCCCUUGGGUUUGUCAACCAACCUGGCAUGUUCAGACCGGGCGCCUCGAUGAUGGUCUCUUAAAAAGCGCAGCUUCACCGGUUAGCAAUCCAUUAAAAAUGAACUACAACUUAAAUUGGUACUUCAAAACUAGCAGAAGAUAGUAUUUUGUAACCACAAAAGCUAUACAAAUACACUGAUUGAACCAAAUAAACAGAGACAUGAACUAAAAACAAAAAGGAUAAAGCAUGCGAAGCAAUUCAGUAGUUUAUGGAUAUUCUUCUGAGUCAACCGAAGUCAAUCAAGACAUUUAAAAAUAAUUCAGAAGAGAUACUUGAACCUAUAAUUAGGAUUGAACAGAAAUUUUCAGAACCCUGAUUCCAAAUUUGGUGCACUACAUAACUCCAUAAGAAUUUGAUAUAGCAGGGGAUGGGGAAAGGGGAAAGGGGAAAGGGGAAAGAAGAGAACCUUUUUCUUUUCAAUUCUCUUGACAGCCACGCGAUUUCCAUUAGACUUAUCUGUGGCAACAUAUGUGUAUCCAAAUUGUCCAUGACCCAACAACUUCCCAAUUGUAAACUUCUUAUCAAAAUCUUUAUCAUACCCAAAAUCCGUUCUUUUCCCACAAGGAAUAACCCCACUUUGCCUCCUCGUAUUAUGCUUAACAUUUUUCGUUUGUUGCUUAACCCCACCGUUAUCCUUACCUUUCUGUCGAUUGUAAUGAGACCCCUCUUGUUUUCUUGAUGUAUUUGUUGUUGCAGAAACCGGUUUCGCUGAGCUCCGCCGAUUACGGUGGCCAUUCACGGUGGCGGUAUUGGUGGUGGAAGGGGUGUUGCUGUUAGAACCACUAACUUUUGAGCUAGAAAAACAUAUAUUGCCCAUUUUGAUAUAUGAUUAAAAUCCUCAAAGUUUAAAAUUUUCAGAUGUUUGAAAGAAAAAGAAAAAAAACCAAAUAAUCAAGAAUCAAGAUUAUGGAUAAUAUAGGGAGGAAAGAAAAGGGGCAAAUUAAAUAAAAGAGGAAAGAUUAUAGGAAAUAGGAGGAGGAAGAAAGGAAGAAGGAGAGGGGAGGUGAUGGACCAUGGUAAUGGUCAAAAAACAAACUUUUUCAAUUUUUUUUUGAACAAGAAAACCAUAAGCCCUCUUAUUUCUUAUUUUCAGUUUGGAAGAAUGGAGGGAGAAAAAACUGAUUAUUUAUAACUUCUUUCUUUUCAUUUUCUAUAUCUAACAUUUUUUUCUCUCUAAUAAAAAAUAAAAUAAUCGCCUCUCUCAGAUUGAGAUUUUUCUCUCACUUUUCUUUUUUAAUGGAACAACAGAAAAUAUAAAUGAGGUUUUUGGUGUUUUCUUGUGGAAUUACCAGUCCCUUCCUCUCCUCAGGUACGUAUUUCAUACCCACGUGCAGAAAUUUGGUAUCAAGACUACUAGAAAAGACAAGCUGACACAAAAAAAAACGUGGUAUAAAUCAUAAAUAUAUAAAUUUUAAUUUGGCCUUAGAUAUCGUUUAAUUUUAAAUGUGCACAAAUACAUAUCUAAAUUAUCAUAAUUUUAAAUAAAAAGACAUACAUAGAAGAAAUCACGUGAUAUUAAUUCAAAUUUUAGAGUAAAAUAGUUUGGGAUGUGCUCCAAACAUAUCAAUACGUACAAAGCAUUAAUUUGUCAACAUUCGAAAGGUUGAGCAUAAGCCUAAUCAAUUGACAACCAGUAAAAUGACAUAAGCCUAAUUAGUUUGAUAGAAAUUUAAAAAGCAUUUUUCCAUUGCAUUCUCACUCCAUGAUACGAGUGCUAAAAAUUUUCUAUACAUCCCAAACUAUUUUUGACCUCAGUUUUCAUUCACGUGAUUCAAACAACCAUUCAUAUAUAUAUUUAGUAUUUUAAAUUUAAAUCAUACUACAAUGGUAAGGAAAGAAAAUGAACUUAAGUUACUCCCUUCGUCCUCUUUUUAAUUAUCGCUUUAUAUAGUUAAAAAUAAUUAUUACUUUAGAAAUUCAAGAAUUGAAAAUUAAUAAUUAUUUUUAACUAUAUCACCGACAUAAAAAAAAGUGUUUCCCAUAUCAUAUGUUAACUAUUGCUAUAGCUCAAAAAAAUUAUAUCAAAUUAAAAUAAUUAUCACCUUAACGAUACAAAUUGUUUUUAGCUAUUUUCUUAAUAUAAAAGAAAUAGAUUUUUUUAAUAUAGAAAUGUUCAAUUCAAAAACAUUUAAUAAAUAAGAAUAGCUUAGUGAAUUAUACCUUAUAUUCAUUUCUUUUUUUUACUGGACAUAAAAAGAAUCUAAAGUGAUCGUAAAAUUGUAUAGAGGGAAUAGUUUAAUCACCAACUUAAGAUGAAUUUUAUUUUCUAAGGACACCAGUAUACCACAUAUAAUCCAUCAGAGUCGAGGAAAAACUCAUGGUGAUUAAAAUAAACUAAAGUUUAAGACAUCAUAUAGAUAAGCAUUUUGCAGAGUACAAUAUUGUUAGAAAAUGCCUCGCCGUCCAUCAGAGGGAUUAAUUAAAAAAAGAAACAAAAACGUUAACAGUCAUAUCAUAUAAUAUUAUUAUUAAAAUAUAAUUUCAAACUUAAUAUUAUAAAGGUAUAAUGAGUUUAAUUAAUGCUAAUAUCUUUACAAAUUUACUUCGAAUUACUUAGUUGAAAAGGAGGAAGAGGGAGUCGGUGAUAUGCGUUUGCCUAACUAAAUAUUCUGUGUACUUGAUUAGUUAACUAAGAUCUUUUAAACAAAGACAUAACUCUAUAUAAAUUAAGGAAAACAAAAAUGUCGAUUGCUCAAUAGUCUACGUACCGACAAGAGGAGGAUAAGAGAUGUAAUAAGGUGAUGAAAUGUUAGCCAUAUAAAUAAAGAUGAUUGAAGUGGUUUAACAACCACUUUUUAAUUAUUUGAAAGUGAAAUACUAUCUACAAAAUAAAUUAAAUCCCCCCAUGUUUGAUCGUCAAAUCCUCAAACAUUUCCCAAAUGUCCUCUAGGCAUCCAACACGCUAAAGAAUACAUAUAUAUUUUAAUAGGGCUCUCGUAAGAUCGAAUAUCCUACUAAAAAAAAAAGUCAAUAUCAGAUUAAAUUAAAAAUCUUUGCAAUGUGUUAACUAUUAACUAUGUUUAAAAAACUUGAAACUAAAUGUGAACUUUUUUUUACAUAAUAUUUUAAAUUACAUUGCCAGGAUUAGAGAAGAUUUUUGUUGCUAUAAAUUAAAUUUAUCAGUCACUAAUUCUGAUAUUUUUAAAAGCAGUGGACAAGUAAAUGCCUGAAGUGUCAAUCGAUAUCUGUCCCAAUCCUACUGGCUGAUCAAAGUUGAGAGUGAAUUAUGCCUAUGUUUGGCACAAGUAUUGACCUUUCACAUGUGGAGUAUUUGGCAAGUACAAGUCAUAUCAAGAAACUUUCAAACUUGAACUAUACAAGUGAGUGACUAAGUGUCUGUUUGGAUUGACUUAUUUUAGGUGUUUUUAAGCUAAAAUAAUUUUUAAACAGUUAUAAAGUGUUUGGAUAAAGUUAAAAAGUACUUAUAAACACUUAUUUUAAAGCCAAAAUAACAAAAAUAAGUCAAAAGUCAUUAAGUUAGAAAUCCUAACUUAUGGCUUUUGACUUAUAAGUCAUAAGCCAAAAGCCAAUCCAAACAGGCCCUAAUUAACUUCUAUAUAUGGUGAUGAGAUGACCAUUCUAGUUGAUACACUGGUCAUAAAGAUAAUGAAGAUUUAUUCUAAUUAAUGGCGUCAAUUGGGUUAUCUAAGAUUAGGAUUUGGAAACUUUCCUAAAAAUUCGAAACACGAAAAUAUCUUUGUUCAACGUGAUUUUAAAAUAGAUUUCAACAACCAAAUACAUUUCUCUUUUCUAAAAAAUAUCAAAAACCCAACUUGUAAGGGUUAAUUAUGGAAGUAUCUUACCCCCAAGAUGUAUCUCUUCAAUAACAUUUUCAGAAUUAUGUGUACUUGGUCGCGAUUCGCGCGGUUAUGAAAAGAAUUAAAAUAAAGUUACAUACUAAUAUCAAUAAUACUUUAAUAAAAGGAAUUUUUUAUUAAUCACAUAAUUUCAUAGAAGAGAAGCUAUGAAAAAUAUUUAGGUUAAAUAUGAAAUUCAUUAAGAAAUCAAUAUAUGUGAACUUUGAAAAGUUAAAUACUAAAAAUAAAUUUCAUAGAGAAAAAAAGAGAAGGUAAUAUUAGAACUACUGAAAUGUAAACUUGAGAUGUGAUCAUUUUUUUCUUUUUUAUUUGGGAUCUUUUUUAGUAUAAUUUAUAUAUAUUUAUGUAAACUUGAAAUCUGUUCAUUCUUUUCUGCUUCUUUGUAAUCUUUUUAAUUAUAUUCUUAGUAUAAUUUUUCGACAAUGUGUAACUCGGAUUGCGAUUAAUAGUUAUUGUCCAUGAUUAUACCGUUAGCCAACACUAUUUUUAAUCAUUAUCCACAAUUACUAUUACUUGUCAUCGUCAUCACCCAAUCAUCACAUAUUUUAAUUAUUUUUAUUGUACAAUAUUAGAUUAAUUUAAUAUUUGAGUAACUUUUUAAUAAUUAAAUUUUAAAUAAAAAAAGUUUACAUAUUUAAAUGAUGAAAAAUAACAAUCUUAAUUAGUUAGAUUUCAUAUCUUAAUAUAUUAUUAUUAUAUUUAGGUUCAGAUAUUUAAUUAUUUUUUGAACAACUUAUAUUGGGAAAACAAAAGAAUUAUGUAAAAUUUAGAAAUAAACAUAAAAGAGAACAAAAGAGAGAAUUAACUACGCAAAAAAGAUUCAAAAAAAUGACACAUACAAAUUCCUAUUUUUUUAAAUUUUUCUUGGCUUAAACACAAAAAUAUUAAAAAGUAUAUUUCACAUUUUAAAUAAAUAUUACAUUUAAUAUAAUAAAUUCCCGAGAAUAAAGAGUCACAAUAAUUAAGAGGAUUAACAAUGUGGCCUUGGACUUGUUUGUAACAUAAUAGGAGUAAUAUUUGUACAUUAUUACAUUAAUAAAGAACAUUAAUUAUAGAAAAUGAAAAGACAAUCAAAUUAGAGUUAUUGAGACAAAUGUUUUAUUAUAAGUAAAUAGAAAGCAAGGAAACCAACAAUAUUUUUUAAAUUAUAAAUUAAUCGCAAUUUUAAAAUAACUUGAGAACUCCUGGAAAACAACCAAUAUGAAAAAUAUAAAGACUGCAACUUGACUUAUUAAUAAACAACUUGAAAUCUCCUAGAAAACAAAAAAAAUAGAAAAAAUUUUAAAAGAAUUGCAAUUUUAUACAUUAAUAAAGAGUUUGUUUUUAAUAAAACAAACUGUAUUUUCAAAAUUAUAAAAUUAACUUUAACAUUCUCAUGUUCUAUCAUUUUUGUUAUUAAAAUUUGCUCCAUUCGGACUAUGGAAGUAUAUGUACGUAUUUCUUUAAGUAGCAUAUCGAUAUUCAUUUAGUCAUUUCCUGCUUAUAUGUUUUAAAAUAUUAUACCCCACAAACACAAUAAAUUAAUAUUAUCAACAAAAAGUGAGAUGAAUUUACCUGAACAAAUAAUCUUUUUGAAGAGUGUUAUCAUUAUAAUAUAAUCAAAUUAUCUAAGAAUUACAUAGAGGUCUAAAGAAAAUAAAUUAAAUAUUUUUUUAAAAAAAAAAACUUAGGAUUUAUAUCUUCACAAACACAAACAAAUAAUAUUAAAUGUAUGAUUUCAACAAAGAAAGAGUUGCAAUUAUAUUAGACAUAUCAAAUUAUUUUACCUUGUAAAAUCAAAUUAUGCAAGAAUGUCUAACAAUUUUCAUUAUAGAUAUAUCUCCUAUAAUCUGCAAAAUAUGAUUAAAUAAGUUAAAAAAUUAUCUAGCAAAAGAAGAAAAGGAUAAAGAAUAAGGAGAAAAUUGCAUUUAAUCAUAAAUCCUCCUACACCUAUAAUCAUUUUUAACAAAACAUAAAUAAUUCAAAAGGAAAUAAUAUAAUAGAAACAUUACUUCUUAAUCCCCUGAAAAUAAAAUAAAGAAUAAUCCAUAUAUAUAGCUCAAAAUCCAUUAAUCUCCAUCUCUAGAUGAUUUCAUUUCGUCCUAUAUACAAGAGUCAAGAAAAAUAAUAACAAAUAGAUUAUUAGUCCUAAAUUGAAUCUCAAAGACAACAAAACAAAAUAAUUUAUCUAGAAGAAACAAAAUUAUGCUUUGACAUAUUAGUCUUACUUGCUAAUUAAAAGUAAUAUAUGAAAUCAUAUUUGAAAAAGAUAAUGCACCUCAAACCUUACAAAUAUUGUAAUAUGUCUGCCACUAAUUCUCUAACCAAAGAUGACUACAAAUAACACACUAAUUUUAGUGUGAUUUUAUAGUGUUAAUAUAACCUUCCACAUUAAAUAAUUAGAGGUUAUAAAUAUGAAAGGUUUGAGAGGUUAUGAAUAUGAAAGGUUUGGGAGUUAUGAAUAUUAUUAAUACUAAUUUAAGAAUAGAAUUUAUAUAAUUGAAGAGGUAUAAGUUAAGAAGAUGAUUUUGCAAGAAAAAAAUAAUUGAAAGAAAUAAGAAAAAAUGUCAAGAAAAAGAGAAAAAAAAUAAAAUAGAAUGGAGGCCAUAGAGAGGUGCCACAUCACCUUCUCUAUGUUCCUCAUUUAUAUAUAUAGAGAUUUAUUUAGAUUUCUUGAGUUCAAAUCCUGCCAAUUAAAAAAAAAAUCGGAUAGUAGACUUUUUUUUAAUUAAGUAUUACACAAUGUAAAAUCACAUUAAUGAAGGCUUUAAUUCAAGUACCAAACCUAUUAAAAGUAUCUUUGGACGGAACUUAUUAGAAGAUCAGUAAUUAAAACUGGCUGCUCUAUAAAUAUUUUUAGAAUUAAAUAUAGAAUUUGUGUAAAAAAUAAUAUUAAAAACGUGUGAACUUAAUUAGAAUUUUCGAAUUGAUAAUUUCUACGUGUGAACAAAUUAAAGUAUUAAAAAAGACAUGAAUUUGGAGUAUCAAUGGAAUUGACUUGAGACAACAAGGAUUAAACAAAGUAUUAGGUCCUAGUAACAAACAAAUAAUUUUAGAAAAUUUAGUAGAAUGAACUACUUGUACGUGAUAGAACAAUUAAACAAAUCGAGUUUUAAAGAGUAUCUUCUCACUACUCUCAAUAAGUUCACACUUGGAAAAAAUGUAAAAUUGCAGAAAUUAGCACUUUUAUCGGAAUAUUCCAAGGCUUUUGGUUUCUUAUUUGGCUGUAUUCCUCAAAAUUCAAAGUUAACCAAAGAGAAUGGCAAAACAAACUAUAUAUGAGUAGUAGACUUGACUUGACUUGACUACAUACACACUUGCCCUUUUAUUUUCAUGUUUAUCGUUUAAAUGAUAAACAAUGUUUUCCUCGCCUGUUACUUGGUUUUGAUGUACUUGAGCUGAGGGUCUCUCGAAAACAGCCUCUCUACCUUUACGAGGUAGUGGCAGGGUCUGCGUACACUCCACCCUCCCCAGACCCCACCUAGUGGGAUUUCACUGGGUAUGUUGUUGUUGUUGUUAUCGUUUAAAUGAUAAUAUAUAUAAUAUUUUCUUUGAGAGCUGUGAAUUCAAGCAGAUACGUCUUUUGCUUUAAAGUAUUUUUAGAAUAAAAUUUAAAUAAUUAUUUCAUUAAUUCUAUUUAAAUUUAUUUAGUGUAUAAUUUUUCUGAAAUUGUGAAAAUCGUUUUAGCUAUGACCUUUAGUUUUAAAUUCAUAUCCUUUAGUUAUAACUUUAUUAUUUAAAAUGUCAAUAAUAUUUGUGUAAGUAUUAUAAUUGUUUUGCAUAAAAAACCAAUUGUCGAUGAAGAACAAUAUUUAAUUAUGGACAUCUUGAUAAGUCUCUUCGCAUUAUUUACUAUCAUACAAAUAUAUAUUAUAAUUUAUUUUAGAGCAAAAAUUUAAAAUUAUUUAAUCAAUAUCGCUUAAAAUUUAUCAAUAUUAAUAACAUCUAUCAAGUAUUUAUUUUACACUUCAUGAAAUACUGUAAUAUCAUUUAUCACCAUUUUAAAUACUAGGCCCGUGCACGGCAUGGAUAUUUCAUAACUAGUAAUAAAUACACAUAAAAGAGGAUGAAAGUAAAAUGUUACAUUUUAGUGUCACCUUUAGAAACGCAAAAGAAGACCAAAUCUUUGUAGUUUUUUGCGUUUUCGUUUAAACAACGACGCGUUAUUUGUUUUUGACCAUCACAAUAGGAAACGGCAGAAUUUGUACACUUUAUGCUCCAAAAAUUAAUUAAAAUAUAUAGUUUUCUAUAGUUUCAACUUUUACAAAUUAAAAAGAAAAUUAAAGAAGGUAUAUAUGAAUAACAAUUUAAUAGUUUAUUAUUCAUAUAUAUAGGUUACGGAAAUGUAACUAUUAAAAAAAACACUAUUUCUCCAUUGAAACUUUCUACUAAAAUGUUCAGUAGUGCUUUUUCCACAUAUCUUUGAUUGAAUUAAUGCAAAAGAAAAGAGAGGAGUUUUUCACACGAAAAAUAAUAAGUAUUUUUUUGUUUUCGUACCAUAUGUUUCUCAAUGAUCCGUUGUUCCGAUAGAAAAAUCACGCUUUAUAACACAUUAAUUUGAUCAGAAAUUUAAAAAGUCUAUAGUAUUCUUUUUAUUUUAAAAUAAACUGGUCUUUUUUUCAUUUUUUAAUUAAAAAGUAUUAAGGUUAAAAGGGUAAAAAUGUUCAAGAAGGUAAAAUAACAUAGUGUGAAAUAUGUUAUUUUACCAUUCUGGACAAUUUUUUUUGCCAAAAGAAUUUUUCCCAUUAAUUUGCAGCGGCAAAAAACUUUUAUUUCUAGUGACGCUUUGAUCUUAUUGAAGGUUGGGACUUGUUAUUAAUUAAAUUGGGUCCACUCUAAUUAGACAUGUUUAAUGUACCAAAUCUCUUUGUCCGUUUUCACACUCCUUUAUUUAAUUUCCAUUUCACACAGCAAAAGAGUGAGAUCAGUUUAUCGUUAUAUGAGUUGGAAUGUUGGAUAGUGCAAAUAAUGCAAUUCUCCAUUUGUAGUCUUAAAAUAACAUAAACCACUUAUAAUUAUAACAAAUAAUGCAACCUAAUAAUACAACUUAUGAAUUCUUCUUUUUUUAAAAGAAGGAGUGGGGAUCAGAGAGUCUCGAAAAUAAUCUUUCUACUUUUUUUUUUUGCCGGAGUUGUUCGACAAUUUUUCAUGCCUUGCACGCAGUACGCACCCAUUGGCCACAUUAUAUUUCAACUGUAGUCGCACAUAAGCUGCUGCCUUUUUGUGGAGCCUCUUUUCCUUUUUUUUUUUGUUUUCUUGGUGGGGGUGGGUUAUAUGUACCCAAAUAUGAAAGCAAGGUACAUAAUUGAGUGUUAAAAAAUAAAGAAACGUGCCCCAUUACGUCCAAAUAUUGGGGUGUUGUACGUCGGUGUUUGAAAGGCAAGGAGCCACUUACUAGUUCACUCCUAGAGUAUAUAAACUAGAUGACAAAAAUUGUUAAAUGAUUCUUUUGCUUCUAUCUAUAAUCGAUGGUGUGUAUAGAUUUGUUUCGUUUCUUUACCGUGAAUAGUUGAGAUAUACAUUAAGUCACCCAUACACUACUUUCUCCAUCUCAAAUACUUGUGGUAUUUUUCAUUUACAUACCCUUUAAGAAAACAUUAAUUAGGAGGGGUGCAUGUAUAAUGUUUAUUUUAUUUACUUAUUAGAAUAUGUUAUAAUUGAGAUAUAUAUUGUACUCUUGAAGAACCUUUACUAAGGGUAAAAUGGAACUAAAAAAAUACUUCAAUUAUCUCUUGAACUUCUAAAAUGAGAAGAAUUUUGAGAUAUACAUGUAUUUUUAGUAAGGACGAUAAGUAUUUUGAGAUGGAGAAAAUACUGUGAAAAUUAAUAAAAAAUAAAGAAAUAAACGAGAAAUAUGGAUUGAUUAGGUUUCGAAAGCAGGACAGCAAAGGACAAUUGUGUUUCUUGCAAGAAAGGUUCACGCGUCUAAAAGCUACAACUUUGAAUGUAUUAAUGUUCUUUUUAGAGAUUACUAACAGAUUUCUGUUGUAAACUAGCUGGCAUAUAUACUGAUUCACGAAUAAUAUAAACAUUUUUUAUGUAAAUUAACUGGUUAUGCAUGAUACUUUUCAUUAAAUUAAUUUCAAAUUUAUAACGCUUAUUAUUAUGUAAUUAUCUUUUUAAAUGACCAAUAUUUUCCACAACAUCAAUUUUUUUAAACUCUUUUCUUGUCAAUUACAAAGUGGUAGUAGCUCAUACUUAUACGUCAAGAAAUAAAACAAAUCUUUUUUUUUUCUUGUUAGUUAAUUGAGAAAGAAAAAUACUUCACUCCAUUUUCUUCCUGGAUUUUAAAAUUUAUUUUUUUACAAUACCGUAUAAAGUGGUUUUCUAAGUUUAAGAAAACGUGAUGCAACCGGCUAUUAAUAAAAGAAGGAAGGGACAACAUAUUUGAUCUUUGUUUAUUAAUCACACGGAAGAACAAAUGGAAGUGAACUCUUGUGACACGACUUUUUCACAUGUUAAGAAAAUAAAUAAAUAAAAGCAAUUCUAAACUCGGAAAAUUGGGCUAAAAGAAAGAAGCAUGUAAGUGAGCAACUGGGCUGUAAACUUGGGCUAAUCAUAUAUAUAGUAUCUUCUUUUGUAGGAAAUGGCGCCAUGUAUCAUCUAAAAGACUUAAUUUGUUUUGUAAUACUACUAGCAUUAAAUACAUUAUUGAGUUUCUUUUGGCAAAAAUUGAUACCACUUGUUGUGUCUGAGUAUCCCUAAUGUUGCAACAAGCACUACUACAAUUGGAGCUAAAAUUCUUUUCAACUACAAUUGAAGCUAAUUUUAGUUUAUUGGCAAAACAAAAUUGAGAAAGCAAAACUACUGAAAAAACAAUUAAAUCGUAGUAGAAGUGAUGGUAGCACGCGAAUAAUAAAAUUAUUGGACUAUUAUAAAAAUAUUCACAAGAACAUGAUUUAUUGUUAUUCAAGACAAUACUGAUAAAAGAAAUUACACGCGUAGCCUCUUGUUUCAAGAUCCAAUAUUGUAAGUGUUAAAAUUGUAAAACUUAAGCAAGAAUUUCCUCAAUGGGCUUGGACUCCAACUUGGCCUCUUCAGUCUGUUCCUUGGCCAGUUUCUUGAGCCUAGCAAGCUCAAGAUCCUUACUCAUUUUCCUCCUGUACAUUUCUGCAAAUGUAAUCGGCUCAUCCAUUAUUGCCUUCUCUCCUUCCCUAAUUUUUAACGGAUACACUUUUGCAUCCGGUGCUGGAUUCUGAAAAGUGGCUAUCGAUAAUCUGCUGCUAUUCGAAUUCACAACUGCUUGAUGAUCAGCAUUCUUGAACCUCCCAUUGCUCAAAUACUGUCCAAAAUUCACAUAAUUAAGUGUCAAUUAGAAAACAUAAUUUUAUGGGAAUAUGUAGUAGUACCAACUUACAUGACCAUGAUCACCAAGAUUAACAACAAAAGCGCCUUCAACGGGCUGAACAGUGAUCCAAGUUUUGCCAUUAUCUUUAGUGGCUUGAAGCCCACCAACUUGGUCUUGUAACAAGAGGGUGAUGGUUCCUGGAUCAGUAUGUCGUUUCAGCCCAAGGGUAAGGUCAGGCUCUGGACACUUUGGGUAAAAAUUGACAACUACUUUUUGGUCCAUAUCCACACAUGCCUUGGUUAAAGCCUCUUUCUCUAAGCCCAUUGCCUCUGACAGUACUUCUAAUAAUUUGCAAGCUAAGUCCAUUAAUUUUUCACUGUAUUUCUCAGUUACAGCUUUCCAGCCUUGUGGUUUGUCUGGCCAUCUAGAGUAGUCUCUAGCUCGAAUUGGGUAUGAAAAGUAGGUCACUAUUUCACGCCAGUCUUGAACCACUUCACCCUAUACAAAACAACUUUCUUUAACAAUUUAAAUCUCUUCCCAUUCCAUUCCAUAGUAAUAUAGUAUUUGGAUAGAUUGUUAUAUCGUUAUAUAAUGUUACACAUCCAUCACAAAGAAAAAAUAGGGUACGAAGAGCUACUAAUAAAAAAAACAGUGUAAAAAAUAACAUAGAAUAACUAAAUAAUAAAUAAAGACAAAAUGAGGCUCUUAAGCCUCAACACUUUAUUUUUUUUAAAAAUAAAGACAAAAUUAGAUGAACAUAUUAAGAUAAUGACAUGACCAUACCAAAAUGUCAUUAAAGAAAAUAAAAUUUUUCAUCUAAAUAAUGCAAUACUGUAAAAUUUUAAAUAACAAUUAAAAAAACAUUAUAAUUUAACUACGGAUAACUCGGGGGGGAAAUGGGAUCUGUUACAAACACUUUUUACUUUUUAGUAUAUCUUUUCUAUAUUUAGAAAUUAAUCACUAACUUCUUAAUUUAUUUCUAAAUGAUGACAUGCACCUUAUUAGUAAAAAAUAAUACUAAUAAAUUGUCGUGACAUGCAUAUCUCUAUCUAAAAAUACGUGUGAAAUAAUUGUUACCUGUAAAUGGCUUGAGACAAUAAAGCCGCCUUUCUUGCCACCAGACAUGUCAAACCGAAGCUUUUCGUCAGGAGGCAAUUCGAAAAAUUCCUUUGCCAAUUUUGUCAUUUCUGAUAUUAAUUGAGCAUCGACCCCAUGAUCAGUUACCUGAAAAACACCCCAAUCUUCACAAGCAUUUACAAUUUUCUCACAUAUUUCACUUCUUCGACUUCCAUUAAUAUCAUCAAUACCUUGCAACGAUAUUACUGGAAUUUCGUCACUAAAUUUAUUGUAAGCCACUUUUGGACGUUCUUCUUCAUCCCUAAUAAAACUUGUUUGAAGGGUCUUUUCAUUAGCUAGAGCUGUUAGUGUUGAAGGUGCCAUUUUUUUUUUUUGUUCAAAAGAGUUAUGAGGUGCCUUUUUAAUGUUGAGAGUAAGGUGAAAUAAGGGGUGGAGAUUUAUAAGGGAGUGUUGGCGUGGAGCUAUUACUACCCUUCGUGCCAACUAACAACAAUUCACGUGUUUUCUUUCUAGAAUUGUAUUUUGCUUACGAGUUGAAGGGUAGAUACCACCAUACUUCGGGGAAAAAAAAUGAAAAGACGUUGAACGUCGAUUUAAUUUAUAUGAUAUUGUUUGAUUUGAUUUUCUUUUUAAAAAAAUUAAAGUUUAUUAUUUAGAGUUAAGUUUAAAUAUUUAUUUAGCUAUUAAUUACUUCAUUUGUUUCAUAAAGAAUGGUCUAGUUUGACUUGACACGAAGUUUAAGAAAAUUAAAGAAAACUUUUGAAUCUUGUGGUCCUAAAUUAAAGUUAUGUCAAUCGUACAAAAUUAGUUUUUAAUCUUGUGGCCUUAAACAUGUCAUGUGAAAGCUGAAAUUAAAAUGUUACCAAAAAAAAGAAAGAGGUCAUCUUUUUGAAACAGACUAAAAAGGAAAGGAGGUCAUUCUUUUUUAAAUGGAGGGGUAUCUUAUUAAAAGUAUUUGUUUUAAUUCUCUUAAAAUAGAUUAAAAUGUAAAGUGUAACACUAAAAAUGAAUAUUGUUUAACUUCUAAAAAGGUAUUAAUACUUUUGUAUGUAUUCUGUAUUAUAUUGCUCUUCCGUACCAUCUUAUAUGAUAUAUGAAUUAAUUUAACUUGACAUGGAGUUUAAGAAAGAAGGAAAAACUUUUGAAACUUUGUGGUGUAAAAUAGGUGAUAGAUAUUUGUGUGGUUUUAAAUCAUUUUCAUUAUGAAUAAAAUAGACAUUUUAAGAUAAAAUUUUAUUUAAUAUAAAAAUAUGUCAUUUUGUUGGAAUGGACCAAAAAAGAAAAUUUAGUAGGAGUACUAGUUACGAUUUUAGGGGAAAAGUGUGGUUGCUUUGUUGAAAAGUAGUUACUACUAAAGUAUUUUGCUUUUUAAGAAAAACAAACGCAACCAAAGAGCUGUUUUUCCAAUAUAAUAAUUAGAGUUGUCAAUAUGAGCUAGAUCCGUUAGAUUAGUCUGGUCUAAUCCGUGAUUUGAUAGGGCUGGGCUAUGAUUUUUGGAGCCUAUUUAAGAAAAUGGUUUUUUAGCCCGGCCUGAAUAAGUUUGCCGAUUUGUGGGGCUUGACAAAUAUGGAUAGGACCGGCCCGUGGGUCAAAUAAAAAUUAAUUAAAAAAUAAAAAUAAAAUAGAGUAUUAAAAAUAACAAGAGCAUAAACUCAAUAUAUGUUUAAAGUUUGAAAUAUUACAAUUUAAAUACAAAUUUUGUUUAUAAAAUAUAUACUACAUAAAAUAAAAAUUUCCUAAAAUUUCUAGGAAAAAACUACAUAGGUCAUAGUUUAUGAAAUAUUGUCAUAAUUUUUGUAUUUUAUUAUGAUUAUUGAAAAACAAUUAGGUUAAUAUUUCUAUUUAACUAUUUAUGUUUUUACUUGAAAUCAAACUUAACAAAUAUUAUAAAGAUAAUUUUAUUUGUGUAUUUGAUUAACAAAUAGUAACACUAACACCAUGUAAUAUUGUCUUGUCGAUAUUUAUGAUAAUAUUUUUAAAUUAUAAUUUAAUUAAAAAAUUAUAAAAAAUAUACUUUUAAGAAAAGAGGGUUGGCCUAGAAAAGUCCGUAGCCCACGUACUUGUGGACUGGGUCAACCAUUUUCAGGCCCACACAAAAAAUGAGUUAGCCCGGCCUAGCCCGUCAAAUUUCAAAGUCAGUAUGAAUUAACCCGAAUGAAGUGGGCCAACCCAUAUUGACAGCUCUAAUAACAAUGUUACCAACAAUCGCUAAUAAUAUUUUCUUUAAAAGUUUAAAUCACACAAUAAUUGCUAAUAAGAAAAAUUCACCUUUUCAACUAUUAAUCGCAUGUGGGUUUAUUAACAAACGGAGGGUGCAUGCAAUUGAAUGUUGGUUAGGACAAAUCACGUGGCUGGUACCAACCAGCGUUGCCUAGCUAAAAAAAAAACAUGUCAAUACUUAAUCAUCUUGUGUUAAAUUUCUGUUAUUUAUUACUCCUCUCUUAAAUUAAUUAAAUGUCGUUGCUACUUGCUAGUUGCUUCUUAUAGAUUUAUCCUAAAAUUGAGUCAGAGGUAAAAAGGGUCCAACGUAUCCUUUAAAUAUAUGAAAUACAUUAUCCUUUCAUUAAUAGUUGGGAUCAAAUAUGUUCAUAUUUUUAUUCUAAUUUUACCCUUAUUUUUAAAUGAUAAAGUUUAAUAUCAAUAAUGUUACAUAUCCCUCAAUUAAAGAUUAUUAUUUUUGAAACGGAAGAUAAAUUUGUACUGGCCUUUUGCAUAGUUCAUAAGCAAAUAUAACAAAUAUGACCUUUUUUUCCAACAUAAUUUUGAGUUUCAAAUUUUCUUUAUUACUCCUUUAUCUUUCUUCAUGUAGACAUUGAAAUUUAUUAGAAAUCUACCAGACGCACUCAAUUCUAAUUGAAACUCUAUAAGAUGUAUUUGAUUUCAGUUAGAGAUUUUGAAGGCUACUCUACCCUAUCCCCAACUCAUGCCUAUAUAAAGGUAAUAUAUAUUCCCUUGAAAAGGCAAGGCCUCCAAAAACAAUUUAACAAAAUUAGUAAAACGAAGAUUGUGCUAAAAUUAGUCGGGCAGUAAAACUUGUGAAAACAUACUUUAUUAUAUGGACAUUUUUAAUGUGUAAUAAGUAGGGUACUUUUGCACAAAUUGCUUAAAUGAUGCUAUUUCUGCAAGUCCAGUUUUUUUUAUUCCAGAUAGGGAUCUUCUAAGGAUUUGGCUCAUGGGCCUUCCCAACUUUGAUUUGUCAUUACUAAUAGUAGUAAGUAAAGGAAAGUUACGUAAAUGUAUUCUUUGGCCAUCUAGUUUAUCAAUAUGGUCGAAGUAUACAUUAUUGGUACACGUUUGUUGUAUACUUAGUGUAUAUAUGUAUAUUGUAUACAUUUAAUAUAAACUAUAUACAUUAUCUAUACAUUGUGUAUAUAUUUUGUAAACUAGAUUUCUGAAUGAUAUUUUAUUGUAAUUUUUCCCUAAGUUAAAUAGAUUAGUCUGUUGUCAUAUUGUUAAAGAAUGACAAAAGUCUCACAUCGGUGGUUAAUGAGAUGAGUGGACUCCUUAUAAGGCUUGGACAAUCCUCCUCCCUUUGAGCUAGCUUUUGGGGUGUGAGUUAGGCCCAAGACCUAAUUUAACACAUAUAAAUCAAGAAUUUAAGUUAUAAUAUCACAUAAAUAUUUUUUGCAUUGAUUAUAUCACAAGAAGAGAUAAGAAAUUGUGUAUUUUUGUUGAGUUUUUGGUUUUCGAAAAUAGAAUAGCAAAACGACUUAUGAUAUAUAAUAAACCAAAAAAGUUUGAUCAUAUAAAACUUCCGGUGGAUUAUUAAUUGAUAGUCCUUACAGCAGGUUCCGUAUAUAAAAAAUUUAUGAAAAUAUAAAUAAACGGGUGUCGGACAAGUUGCCAGCUAAUAGUAAAAAAUAACAAUUCAAAUAAGGACUGAUCAUAUCGCAAAUUUAAGUUUUAAAUUUCAUAAAAGUGAAUAAACUUGUACUCAUUCUACGAAAAUUACGAGCUUCCCUUGAUAAUUUAGUGCAACUUGUAAAUUUUUAUGUGUAUUUAAUCUUAGUUUGGAGUAUCAAAUCUUAUUAAUGGUCUAAGGUUGAUGCUUUUUCUAAGAUUAACUAAUAUUUUAAUGAAACUCUAUUUUCGAAAUACUAGUGCACUGUGAAGUUAGGCUGGCAGUGUGACUUUCUGAGCAUUUUCCCACUUCUUGCCAGGCCCAACACCAUCACUUAGACAAGUAGGCACGUUCCCCCGAUGCCGAGGUUAAUACUAACUUAACUACUGUAUCUCAAAUUAAAUUACAUUAUCUGUGUAUCAUAUUAACCCAAAUUCAAAGUUCACACCCCAUGAACCAGAGGCUUGAUCCCGCGAGCAUCGAAAUGGGGUUCCUUCUUUGUCACUGAACCAACAACUGUUAAAUUAGGUCUUAGGCCUAACUCACACCCUAAAAGCUAGCUCAAAGGGAGGAGGAUUGUCCAAACCUUAUAAGGAGUUCACCCAUCUCAUUAAUCACCGAUGUGGGACUUUUGUCAUUCUUUUAACACCCCACCUCACGCCCAGUGCUUAGCAUCUGGUGCGUGGGCAAUUUUGAUUUUGGGGGCCCCAACAUGGGGUGAGACGGACCCUGCUCUGAUACCAUGUUAAAUUAGGUCUUAGGCCUAAUUCACACCCCAAAAGCUAGCUCAAAGGAAGGAGGAUUGCCCAAGCCUUAUAAGGAGUCCACCCAUCUUAUUAACCACCGAUGUUGGACUUUUGUCAUUCUUUAAAACAACAACUCUUUCUCAAUAUAAAUGCAGGAUUUAGGCAAUUGCAAAAUUUACGGGAAUUUCAAUAACCCCACUCGAUAUCGUAAUCCGCCCCUGCCCUGAACAACCUACCCAAAAAAAAACAGGAGCAAUUGAAGUUAACGGUAAAGGCAGAACGAAUUAGUAUUGGUCUAGAGUCUAGACCUUGUUUUGUGUUAAAAAAUUUAAUUAACAUGUAGCCUUUAAGGAGUAUAUGAAUAACUCAAAUAAACAAAAGAAAAUUGUGUGCACUAGAAUCAAUAAACUUAAAAUCCUAAAUCUAACCACGGUCAAAAGGGGGGUUUAUUUUCUUGUGCUAUAAAUUCUAAUGCAACACUCUUAUUUCUUAAGAGCUAGCUCUCUGCUUUCUCCGUCAUAUAUACACCAUUUUGCCUUUUUUGUUUCUGAAAGAAUGUCAUUCCAAAAGGCAUUUGCUGCUAUGCUUAUUGCAUCCUUUCUGCUCGUCCAUUUCGCUUAUGCCCAAAAGGUUUUUCAUUUUUAAGUGGAAUGUUCAUUAUCACAAUAAGUAGUCGAUUACUACAGUGCCUCACACACUAAUUUUUCCAAAGACCAUAUCACUCGCAUCAUGUUUUAACUCUUUAAUUCAUGUUUGUUGGCGCAGGUUGACUACAGCAAGCCACCAGCAUCAGCCCCUCAAGGUCCACAGCCACUAGGUAAUCUAUCAUUAUUUUAUAUUUGUAUAGAAACAUGUACUAAUAAAUAAAGUUGUGUUGGAAAUGAUUGUACAGAUUGCAUAGGAGCUUGUAAAUAUCGGUGCAGUGAGUCGUCUAGGCAAAAUCUAUGCAACAGAGCAUGUGGAAGCUGCUGCCAGAGAUGUCACUGCGUGCCACCAGGGACUUCUGGAAAUUAUGAAGCAUGCCCUUGCUAUUUCAAUCUUUUGACUCAUAACACCACCCGCAAAUGUCCUUAAUACAUCCCUUUUUAAAUUUGUUCUCCAAACGGAGUCAGUUCCCAAUAAUUUUGUUCAUUUUGAAAUUCAAUUCAUUGCUCCUUCUGUACGAAGCUUGUGAUGCAAUAAAAGAUGAUUUUUUCUAGCAAGUAGCCUGGUCUUUUAAUAAUCUGGCUCACUGUGUAGGGAAUUACAUGCCUGCAAAAAGGAGCACACUACUUCCAUUCUUUAGACUGUUGAAAGUAUGUAGUGCUAUAUAUACUGAGGUGAAAAUAUGGAGUGCUAUAUAUAAUAUAUACUAAGGUGAAAAUAUGUGUCCGGAGCUAAAAGGGCAAAUAAAUUGAGUAAAAUUUUCGGAAGGGCAACAAAAAUUGAGGAUCAAACCAAAAGAACAAUAGUUGGAUAGAAGGAUGGAUGCGGUUAAACCGUAGGUUAAAGGCUCAUGUCAGAAUGAGCCUUACAAGACUCAUGUUACAACAUUAAAAAAAAAACAGCGCACUUUUAAAAAAAUAUUCAUAUUUCUUUUUCAUUAUUUAUUCAAUCAUUUUAUUGUCUUGAAAAUAUGGAGUGCUAUAUCUUUUGAUGUUUUUACUAUUAGCAUUUCUUACAUAUUCUCCAAAUAAUUUUUCAAGAUCGAUCUAAGACUAUACAUCAAUUAAAUGGGUAUUAUAGUAAAAUAUUCAUAUCAAUCUUUAUUUCUUAAAAAGCAUGUAAAGUCUAAAGGGGACAAGUAAAAAUGAAAUGAGGGGUAUAUGUGCUCUUAUCCUUACUAUUUUUUUUAAGGAAUUCUACUGUCAACAUACUUACUUAGGGCCCGUUUGACCAUGCGAUAUGAUAUUAUCAUAAUAUGGAAUUAUGAGAUGAAAUUGAGGUUUUGUUUGGACAUGCGCUAUGAAUUUUUUGUGUUGUAUAUUUUCUUAUAAGCAUAAGAAUCCCAUAAGUUGUAAAACUAUUAAAAUAGCCCCAAUUUUAUUCAAUAUUAUCAAAUAAACAAAAAUUUAUAAAAUCGCAUAAUAAAUUACUACAAAGCUAUUUGUUCUCUACUUAAGUAAUUAUUUCAUCUAACUUUAAUUCAAUAAAAAAAUUGAACAUAAAUUGUAGUGUACUAGUUUUUAAUUUAAUAUAAUCCUCCCACAUAGUAUGAACAAUUUCCUCACAUCGAACUUGCAUUUCUCGAUCAUGUGACCGAGAAGACGAACCAACAUUGUUACUUUGAGUUGUAACAAAUACAAUACUGUAGAAGUAAUAAAUUAGGUGUUGGAGUAAAUGAAGAGAACAAAUUUAUUACUGAACAAUCGGUUGGUGUGAGUUAAAGAGACUAUAUAUUGAUGAGAAUAAUAAAUUUUAAAAAGUAAUGAUGUGAUUAUAAAUUUUAUUUACAUAUGAAAUAAAUGGUUAAUAGAUAUAAAUGUAAGGUUGUUUUAACAAAAUAUAAACUUGUGGAUCAAUUUUGUAUUAAAAAUAUCUCAAAUCAUGAUAUGGAAUUCCCAUAUCAUGGUUUUUGGAGAAUAUAGAAUCACAUCUCAUGAUAUGGAAUCAUGAGAUAGAAUCAGCGUAAAAUUGCAUGUCCAAACGCUGAUUCCAUCUCAUGAUUCCAUAUCGUGAUAUGAUAUCGCAUGGCCAAACGCCUACUUAGACAAUUAUAUUAGGAAAUUAGUUGGACCCUGCAGUCAUGGAUGACGAAUAGUUGGCAUCGUUAAUGGGUAAAAUUUCUCAUUACAUAUAUCCCCAAUACCUCUGUAUUAGUUUGUGUGUUGCAUGUUACCCACUGUUAAUUAUACUCAAAUAUACUUAAAAUUCACAAAAGGUUGCAUAUAUUGGUAAACCUGCAGCUUUCAUAUCUAAAGGUUGUCUAUCUAUCUUAUACUAGCCUUGGUACAUAAUUUAAGUAAGUAACUUUUUAAUUUUUUUUUUUUUUUAAAAACUUAACCUAAAACAAAAAUUUCAUGUAAAAAGAAUUGCUUAAAUUGAUGGAGUGACUUUGUAGGUGAAAUAUCAAUAAUUGAAUAACUAUUUAUUAGUUGAAUGACCAUCUCGAUAAAUAAUUUGUCUUUAUCCAAGUAAAGAUAAAAAGAAUUAGCGGUAAAUUUAGAAAAUUAUUUUCCAAAAACAUGCAUAAUGAAGUGGACAAGUGCCAGCUACAUAUAUAUGACCAUUUGAACUAAAGAGAGAUGCUGUCUAAGCAGUCCAGCUGUGCACCAUUUAGUAUACUUAUCAUUUUUUAAUAGUGCAAACUCUUUUAAUAAACAAAUUUUAACAGUUUAUUUUAACAUUUAAUCUAGUAAUUUAUGUUUUAAGGUACAAGUUUCAUUUUUUAUAUGACUUAAUAGUAUGGGAAAAUAUUCUCUUAGCAAAUUAAUCGAUAUCAAACACAUCUAACUUUUCUGCUGUUUCUUAUAAAUAUAUAUAUCCUCCAAUCCCGAUCAACUUUAGUCAUAAUUUUUGUUGUAGUGAAGAAAUUCUUGUUUUACUUUUCUAUCGUGACUAAAAUCUUAUCGAUAUAGCAAGAGUACAUUAUUUUGACCUUUCAACUAGGAUAGAGUCAAAGAGGUAGUCCUAAAUCAUUUUUAUAUCAUGAUUGGCCGCUUUUCAAGAUUAAAAGUGUUUCUGUUACCUUUUUUUUUAAAAAAAAUCAAGAUGUUUGAUCAAGCUUUUAGGAAACAAAACGUAUUUUUGAGAACAAAUAACUUUCCUCAAAAGUAUUUUUUUGAAAAUCACAUUCUAGAAAAUACACUUAGAAAUAUAUUUUAAAAAUUUAGUCAAACAUUAAUUGUUGCUCAUUAGUACUUUUCAAAUUGAUUAUCCAAAUACAAAUUAUUUUUUAUCAAAGUUUUUUUCUUAAAAAUAUCUUUCAAUGUUUCAUCAAGCCACUUUUGUCAAAUUUCAUUGACACAAUUAUUUAUGGACCUUUUUUUUUUUUUUUAUCAUGGUUCUAUUUUUAAAGUAAUAAAUCAAUAUUAAAGAUAACGGAUAUUAAGAAAUGAAAAUAGAAAAUUUUAAUUAUAAUUAGUUGAAAUUAAUUUUAUAUGUCCUGGAGUAUGAAAAUUGAAAGGUCUUCUAAGAGGACAAUAUAUUGAAACUGACAAAUAGAAAAAUAAGAUAUUCAAUUUGGGUAGAAAUGUAGCAAAUAUUAGUAUUUGUUUCCAGAUCUAUAAUUUACGUGUCCAAAUGAAUAAACCAAUAUGAGGCAAGUUUCCACUAAAUAGUGAAAACAAUAAUUCAAGUUAUAAGGACCAAUCAAAAUCAUAAAAUUUAUAAACAUGAAUAAAUAAUGUUUUUCAAAACCACAGCUUUCCCAUUAUUUAAUGCAACUUGGGAGAAUCUCUAAUAAAUUAUGUGCUUGUAAUCUAUGUUGUUGUAGCAAAUCUUGCUAUUUUAAUGCUAUGUUUUUGGUAUAUAAAAAAACACUUUUUAGAAUUUUUAUUUUAUUUUUUCAUGAUCGACUUAAAUAUUUUAUAAAUAGACUUAUAUUUUUCUUAAAUUUAAAGAAAAUGACUUUCUUCCAUAAAGUAAGAAAAAACAUUCUCCAAAAUUCUCUUUCAAUCUCACUGUAUGAAUCCCAACCCCGCCCAAAUUCAGCGUCCCUGUCCAAACUCGAAUUAGAAUCCGGGUCAAAAGUCAGGUCUUAGGUCUAGAGUCUCAGGUAAAAAAUUGAGUCAAAUUAGGGUCAAAGUCGUGAAUCGAGAUCGAGUUAGGGGUCAGGGUUCGGAGCUUCGAGUAGGUACAAUGUCAAAAUAUUUGCCCAGAUUAUAUUUAAUGCUCUUGAAAAAAUAUUUUCAUUCUUACAAGUCCUGUAACAUGAAAGCCUGCAUUACUUUUAGUUAUUGAAUUCUUUUUUGGUAAAACAAUCAUCUACAUAAAAUUAUUUUUAAUAUAACAAAAAACUAGUGUGAUUUUUCUUUUAAAUUUGGCCUAGCUCUUUUUUCUAGAAUAGUGAUGCGAAGCUAGGCUGGCAGUGAGAGUUUCGAAGCUACUUCCCAUUUCUUGUCAUCAUCAUCACUAACACAAGUUGAUUAUGUGGAGGCAUGAAAAUUAUACUUUCGCAAUUGUAUAAUCAAACAACUACUGAAUGGUUAUUUAUACACAAUUUUUACCUAGUGAAUUUAAAAAAAAACUAGGGAGUUAUUCUUAACGUUUUCGAAUUCAACCUAUAAUUUCUUUUCAAACCAUAAUAAAUCUGCUAAAUGUCGGUUAUAGUUACUAACAAUUAGCAAGUACAUAAAAAGAUAAAAUGAAAGAACUUACUGCCAGAAAUAGGAAAUAAUAGUAUCAAUUAGACCGAACGGUGGUUGAAACAGAAGAAUUUUGAGGCUUAAAUUGAUGGGACCUAGAUCAGCGCAUGUAUUUUGACUCUCUUGUGACUUGAUGGAAAUUGUAAUUACCUUCAAAGGUUGUGAUGGGUGGCAAAUAUCUAUUCAAUUUUAACUAAUGAUUUAUUAUUCGAACUUCAAGAAUAAAACUAACUUUGUUAGACAACAAUGAUUUUGAUAUUUUUUUUCUUAAAUGUGAAUUCAGAAUAGUUAGAUGUCAAAGUGAUAUCGAAAUAAAAUACUAAGAAGUAGAAAUAGUACUACUUAAUAUACUCCCUCUGUCCCAAUUUAUAUGACUUACUUUCCUUUUUAGUCAGUCCCAAAAAGAAUGACACAUUUCUAUUUUAAGUAACAAUUUGCCUAUGAAAUGUCUUUUUUACCCUUAAUGAAAUGAUUUACAACCACACAAAUUUCUAUCAUUUAUUUUGGACCACAAGUUUUAAAAGUCUUUCCAUUUUUCUUAAAGUUUGUGCCAAAUCAAAGUACAUCAUAUAAAAUGGGACGGAGGGAGUAUUAAUUUAGGCCUUUGGCUUGACCCACUGACCCAAAGAAAACGUGGGUUGGAUGGGGAGUGUCUUUGCUCGUGCUAUAAAUACCACCUCUCUCUGUUUUCUAUUUCACUUCCAUAGUGUAAGCCAGCUCAGAAUUCAGAGUUCUCAGCUUUCCUUCUUUUUUGUAUCUAAAAUUAGAAUGGCAUUCCUAAAGGCAUUUGCAGCUUUGCUCAUUGCAUCACUUGUGCUUGUCCAUUUCACUUAUGCCCUUCAAGAGGUUCCCCUUUUUCUUAAAUUAGCAUGUUUAUUUCUAAUUAACAUCUUGAAAAUAACGUUUGAUUUUGAAAUGUUGGCGCAGGUAAUUAACAGCAAACCACCAGUACCAAGUCCUCAACCUCUAAAGCCAAUAGGUACGUACUGUAACAUUUUAAGUAUUUCCGCUAUAACUUUCGUAACUGAUUCUAAAUUCUGAAUUCGUCUUUGUUACAGAUUGUACGGGAUCUUGUAAAACGAGGUGCAGCAAAUCGUCUCGGCAAAAUCUAUGCAACAGAGCAUGUGGAACCUGCUGCCAGAGAUGUCAGUGCGUGCCACCAGGGACUUCUGGAAAUUACGAAGCAUGCCCUUGCUAUUUCAACCUUACUACUCAUAACAGUACCCGCAAAUGUCCUUAAAAUCCAUAGCAUAAUUUUGUUCUUCUGCAAAUUCAAAUGUACCUCUUAUUAAAUACUACUAUUAUUAUGUUGUGUACUAUGUCAGCUCUUGAAUUUGAAAUUUAAGGGUAAAAUUGAGGUUGAGAGUUUUUAAUGCAAUAUUAAUAUGGGUAUUAUUAAAUUGAUUGAUCUGUUUACUCUAGUCGUCCCAUUUACUGUGAACAGAAUUAAGUGAGUCUGGACUAAAUGUUGAUUGAAAUAGCUACAUUUAAUAUCUUUCUUCUUUUUGCGUAGAAAGCGAGAAAGAAAAAUUUUAUUUGUACAAAACAAAGCUAGUAGUUAUGGAUAUACGAUAGCACAAUUUUAACUAUUCCAUGAUCGAACAGGUUCUUGGUACUCACUUUUAAGUAACAUGAUGUGAAAUAUUUGUAACGCAUUAUUAUCUGCAGUACAUAAUAAUUGAACUCAAAAGUGUACUGCCUUAGUCCCAUGUGUAUUUUGGACUCUCUUAAUAAUUUAUUAAUUAAAUGUUUAUUUUAUUAAAUUAAUUAUACUUAAGAGAUUUAAAUUAAUUAAAUACUAGAACUCAAAUUAGUUUGAGAAAUAGUUACUUCAGUGAUAUUGGUGAAGUUGGAAAAUAUAAUUGAUUUUCUCUUAAUUUUUUAAAAUGAACAAUAAAUAAAUAAAUAUAUUUAGGGCCCGUUUGGCCAUGCGAUAUGGAAUUAUGAUAUGGAAUCAUGAGAUGAAAUUGAAGUUUUGUUUGGACAUGCGAUAUGAAAUUUUUGUGUUGUAUAUUUUCUCAUAAACAUAAGAAUCUCAUAAGUUGUAAAACUAUUAAAAUAGCCCACAUUGUUUAUUCAAUCUUAUCAAAUAAACAAAAAUUUAUAAAAUCGCAUAAUAAAUUAUUACAAAGCUAUUUGUUCUCCACUUAAGUAAUUGUUUCAUCUAACUUUAAUUUAAUAAAAAAAAAUUGAACAUAAAUUGUAGUGUACUGAUUUUUAAUAUAAUCCUCCCACAUAAUAUGAUUUCUUCACGUUGAACUUACAUUUCUUGAUCAUGUGACCAAGAAGACGAACCAACAUUGUUGCUUUGAGCCAUUUGUUGGUCAAUAUCAUCCACAACUAUAUCUUCAUGCUCAUAGACCAUAAAUAUUUCAUCAGUACUUUGGUAUUCUCGCAAAUAAUUAUGUAACACUGCACAAGAUAUGACAAUUUUCAUUUGUGUAUCAAUAUCAUAAUAGUUCAUGCCUUGUUUCUAGUAUUCUAAAUCUAUUUUUCCAAGCUCCAAAAAAUCCAUUCAAUCACAUUGCGCAGAGAUGAAUGCCUAUAAUUAAACAGUUCUUUGGCAUUUUGAGGCUCUCUUUCACUUCCUCAGUAAUCUUGCAAAUGAUAGCGUAGUCCUUUGUAUGGAGCUAAAACGGUUGGAGUAAAUGAACAGAACAAAUUUAUUACUCAACAAUCGAUUGAUGUGAGUUAAAGUGACUAUAUGUUGGUGAGAAUAAUAAAUUUUAUGUUGGUUAGAAUAAUAAAAUUUUAAAAAGUAAUGAUGUGAUUAUAAAUUUUGUUUACAUAUGAAAUAAAUGGUUAGUAGAUAUAAAUGUGGGGUUGUUUUAACAAAGUAUAAACUCGUGGAUCAAUUUUUGUAUUAAAAUAUUUCAAAUCAUGAUAUGAAAUUCCCAUAUAAUUUCAUAUCAUGGUUUUUGGAGAAUAUGGUAUCACAUCUCAUGAUAUGGAAUCAUGAGAUGGAGUCAGCGUAAAAUCGCAAUGUCCAAACGCUGAUUCCAUCUCACGAUACCAUAUCGUGAUAUGGUAUCGCAUGGUCAAACUCCUACUUAGUAUAAUUGAGAAGUGAAAACAAGGAAACAAAGAGAGUAAUGUACAAACAACCAAAAGUUUCACGGAAAAUAGUCUUUUAUCUCAAUUUAUGUGUACUUUUUUUUUUUAGUGAUGUUCCAAAAAGAAUGUCACAAUUCUAUAACUAAAAGUGAUCUGAUUUUAAUUUUAAAAUUCACUUUUUACUCUUAAUAAAUAAUUUAUAGUCAAACAAAUAUUUAUAAUGUGAUGCUUAACCCCCGCCCCCAACUACGGGGGAAGUCACACUUUAACUUCCUGCCUUGACCUAGGCCUCACAUCGAUCGUUCUGUCCACUAAACUCAUCAAUCAAUCUUGACCUUGACUCUCACUAUGUACUCCAACUCUAUCUAUUAAUGUAGACACUUUAUCUAAUGAAGCAUGAAGAAGACUAGGAAAGCAAUCGAACAGACAAGGCUCUGUAAGAGAAGAGCUAACUGGAGUACGCCUUGAAUGACGAACGAAGAGUAUGAGAAGAGAGUUUCGAAGGUCAGAUCGAAUUCGCUGAUAAAACUUGUGUUUUAAAUAAAUUUUUGAAAUUUGUUUUUCUUUUAUAAAUUUUAAAAUGAUGUCAAAUGAAUUAGACCGUAACGAGGGAGCGUUACUUGAUCCUAUAAAGAUGACAGAUAAUAGCCUAAUAUAGUUUAAAGACACGCUUUUCGUCAAGAAUUUGGAAUGAAGUAAAGUUGACGGGUCCUUGCUGUACAAAACACUCAAGCAAAGUACGUCACUUUUGGACAUAUAUAUUGUUAAAUUUAGUGUAGCUUUAGUUCAUAACUUAAGGACUAGUCACAAACAUUAAUUUGAUUUGCAUUUUUCACACUUUGAGAGCCUUAAAGUGUGUUAAUUUUUUAUUUUACACUUCACCUGUUCAUCUUUACUUGUACAUUAUACUAAAAUUAGUUGUCUAAAAAUAUUUAUCAAAUUUGAAAAAUCAAGAGAUAAUUUAAUUUUCGUGUUUGUUUUAUCCUUGAUAUUAAAUACUAUAAUAUUUACUAUCUAAUUUAUUUUCUUAAGCAUUAUAUUUAAUAUAUUUAAAGAUUAAUAUAGUAAUAUUAUCUCUGUUAUUUAUUAAUUUUAAAAUAUAUUGCAAAUCAAUAUUGGACCGCUAUUAUUGGUAUCGUAUUAUUUGAAUGUCUUUAGGAGACAAUUAUGAAUGGAUUUUAGUAAAGAAUGUUGACAAGUCAAAGUGAUUAGCUUGACUGUAAUGUGAGUUAGGUGAGGGUAUCCAAGUUGUGCUCACUCCAACCAAUGCAUUCAUCAAAGCCUACUCACCCACAGCUGGCUGCCUGCCUGCUCCCUUAGUAAUGCCGGUGCUUCUUUUAUCUUCCUACAUCUAUUUUUACUUUUAUAUGUCUCUUAUAAUAUAUAUAUAUAUAUAUAUAUAUAUAUAUUAAUUUAUUUUCAAAUACACUUUUUAAUGUGAUUAUGAUGGGAUGUAGGUAAUUAGUGCAAUCUUUUGAUUAAAUGUGUGCAUGAAAAUGUUCUUUUGAAAUUUUACAACAUUUAUGCAGCAGGUAAUUACUAUUGUUUACAAUUUAAAAAAUGAAUGAAUUUUAAUUAAUGUUAUCUUGAUUUUCUAAAUUGACAAGUAGUAAUUUAAGAUAAAUAUAUUUAAUAAUGUAGACAAAUAAGUAAAUAUAUAAUUAUUAGCAUAUGAUAGUACAAAUCUUUUUAGUAAUGUGGUUAUGUAAAAAAUGUAGUGAUAUCCCACCAAAGUGAGGAGAGCUCUGAUCCCACCAAAGCUACUGAAAAUCAAUUGAAACUGUGAAAGUGCGGUAUUCAUGAACUAACUGGAAAAUGUAAUUGACAGUUGUAGUCUCCACUGCCCCAUAAAUUAAGUUCCUCAUUUUAUCUCAUAAUUAAAAUAAAGUCGGGUCAAGACUCAACGGGUUCUAGGGAGUUAAGUAAAAUAACAACCAUGACUAAUCCAAUGUCCUUUUUUUUUGGAGGGUGGGUGAAUUGAAAUAAUAAUCAAUUUAAGGUAAGUAUAAGUAUUUUAGUUUCACCAAGAGCAGUGCAAUUAGUUGGAUAUAUAGUAGUAUAACCAAUGCAUGCAUGCAAACAUGAAUAUGAAAUCAUUAGGAGUAGUUUGGUUCAAAAUAAUGUUACCUCAUGAUUAUAAUCAUGGAACUACCAUUAUACAUCAUUCCAUCUUCUAUAGGUGAUGAUACAUAAUCUCAUAAUUUUGAUAUAAAUUUUGUCAUGUUUUUAGUUUAUACCCACAACCAAACACUAGACAAAUUUAACCUUAGGUUCCUCUAACAAAUGACCCUUGAAGGAAAAAUUCCAUAAGUAGUGCCCAUUAGAGCAACAUGACUUUCCUUUCAAAACAUAGCAAAACUCAUAAAUAUAUGAAAUGUAUAUAAAGUGUAAGUCAUAUCAUGUACGUAUUGUAAACCAUCACCUAAAAUAUAUGGCGAUAGAUAACAAUGAUUUUCUAGAAUUGAAACUUCAACAACAGCAAACGAGUGACAGUGACAACUAGGGUUUUUAAAUGUACAGAUAUGUGUAUAAUUACGCUACACCCUAUAAUAAUUAUUUUUUUUCCUUAAUAAAACAGGGGCUAAUCACUUGGGCAAAUGAAAACUUUGAUAUUGGGUUGAUCCUAGUUCAUAUAGAGGUGGGCAUGAAAUGCACCAAAAAAGCCCAAGUCCAUGUUUCAAAUCCUAACGGCUACUUUGUUAACGCGCUGCCUGCCUUACAAGAAUGUUCUAACGGUCACUUUAUGUUUUCCCAUUGUGAAACCCUAUUUCCACAACUAUAAAGUCCUCUUCUCUCUGCCCAAAUUCCAUCUCAUUGUCUUACUACUCUCUGUCAGUGAAUUUCUCCUCUCUGCAGUUCUUGAUCUGAAUAAGAAUUUCGGUAUACAAGUAACCCAAAAAUCAAACUUCACUGCAAUAUUCAUCAAUGGAGACUCCAUCAUCAACAAGAAGGGUGACAAGAUCACAAGCCUUGGCUGUGGCUAACAGUGCUAACAAGAUCCCUCUGUCAACUAGUAAGUUUUUAUUGCCCUGUUUUCAUUUUCCCUUUCUUGAAAUUUAAUUUGAUUUCUGAAAAGUUAUUUCUUUUCCUGUUCAGAGAAAAUUGAAGAAUCUGAGAAGAAAACAGUGGCGAAAUCAAGAAACAGAACUGGGAAACAAUCAGCAUUGAUUGAUAUAACGAAUGAUUCCCCCAUUGUUGGUCUUGCUAUGGGGAAUUUGGGGACCCCAUCUUCAGAGAUGUCUAAGAAAAGGACUAUAGGUCUAGCCAAAUACUUGAGUACACCUGGAUCUGGCGAGGAUUUAUUGAGGGGACAAGUUAAGACUUUGUUGCAAAAGGUUGAAGAAGAAGCUGUGCUCUCGAAGAUUUCGCUGGAAAAUAGGCCUUUCCUUCAUCUCAAAGGAAUUAUCAACUCUCCCAUGGGUCUUCUUGCCCCAACUCCUGCAAAUACACCUCUUAUGGAUUUCUCUGUCAAUGAAUUGCCUGCUGUUACUGCAUCCCCUGUUGAAGACAAGUUUGUCAUUUCUCAGGUACAAUUUCAAUUACCUGUAUCAAUUAGUAUCAAGAAAGAUUCCUUCUUUAUUACUUGUUUGAUUUCAGAAAUCCAAGAUUUGAAUUAGCUGAUUGUAUGUUACAGAUGAUCAAUGAGAUGUUUGAAGGGGGAAAACAGGGGAAUCUUGAAUCUGAGAAAAGUUACUUAACAAGAUCGCUGCUGCUGGAUUUUUAUGAGAAACCAGAAGACUCGGAACAAUCUUCUGUGUGUUCCUCUGUGCUGACAUACCAAGGAUGUGAUGUUGAAAGCAAGGAGAAGACGACCCCUUCAGAUGACGACAAUGCAUCUGUGUGGUCGAUUCAGGUGAAUGCAAGUACUAAGGAUGAAGAAGAAGAAGAAGAAGGUGGACUUGAAGAAGAUGAAUAUGAUGAUGACAAGUAUGAUGAAAUUGAAGAGGAUGGAAGUGAAGUUGACGAUCUGUGUGAAGCGAUUAGCAAGAUCAAUGUGAAUUUUGAGGGGAAGCAUACGCGUUUUGUGUACAACAGUGAUGAUGAGCUUGAAGGUGCUGAAGAGUGCAAUGUUGAGGCUGCAUCAUCACCAGGUGUCUUGCACUUGAAGGGGUUGCCAACUCCAAAAGGGAAGCAUCUUCGCUUCCCUGAAGAACACUGAAGGAAGAAAUUUCUAGGCUUAUAUUGAUGUUUCUGUUUUUGACACACACCUGCUCUGUGGUGCUAUAAUACUUGUCAUGAUCUUUUUGUCCUUAUAGUUACUUCUCUUUUGCUGCUGCUACAUUGUAUUCUUUUGGUUCAUAUCUGAUUUGGACCUUUUGAAAAUUGGCUGUCAAAUUGAUGAUAUAUUUCAAAAAUCAUCUCUUUCCAAUGUCUCUGAAAGUUGUUUAUUACAUUCUUUUGGUUCAUAUCUAAUAUGGACAGUUGAAAGUUAUGCUUGCUACUUUCUAUAGUCACUUGCCACGAUUUUCUAUGAUAUUAUUUGAUUACUUUUUUGAGUUUAUUAAAAGACAUGCCUAGUAAUAGAAUAGGAGGAAGAAAGUGAAAGCUGGACGAUAGAAGCAAUGGGUCAAACUGAAAAAGAGUAGCAACUGUUUGAAUAAUAAUAAAACACCAACCCUAAACUGAUUUGAUCAAAUUCAAUUUUACCAAAGUGGACCUUUAUCCUACGGCGGCUAUAGCGGCUCAUGGGAGACAUGUAUACACAAGAGAUCGACUCGUUAAAUGCGGAGUGAGUGACACAGGAAAUUGACUGAACAUGCAUUAUAUGUUCAUGCAAUGAAGAGGAAGAAGAGACACUGGAACCAGAGAAUUUUUCGGCAUACUUCAAGAGAUCCAACUAAUGUUGCAAAACAGGUGAUUUGAGAAGUCUUCCUAGAACAAAAGUCUACCAACACUGUGGCAAAGAUACUAGAGAAGCUAAAUUUCUAUCCUAGAUGAUUUGAUUGGCAUGAAAUGUAGGAAACAAUAGUUAUCCCCAUGACAAAUAGGAUCAUGAUGAUUGCAAUUCACUCAGUGAUAGAUUUCUUUGUUCAGCAUGAUUGGCUUUAAACCAAAUUGUAUAAAUUCCUUGCUGGUUUUAAAAAAAUAUUUAUCAGAAAAAAACAUAAUUUAAAUUUAAUUUACACAUAUCCUUUAUUGUUUCCCUUAAUGUUUGAAGCAUUUAUACGUUUUUCUUAAGGGAAACCCGCAACUGCUAGCCUCCAAAGCUGAUUAUUCUCAUUCAAAGCUGAUUAUUCUCAUUCGACAUUCAACUGUUAUGUUCCUCAAUACCGAGUCUAUGCUACUUCAGCAAGAACGAUCACAGAAAUAUCACAACAGAUACAAUCACAACCUUCUUCGAAAGUAGCUCAAAACCAUGAACAUAUUAGGCUGCACUGAGUAAAACUAAUUCCACUAUUUGUUGACUAACAUUGCCUCUAUAAGCGCCUGGAAAGAACCGGCAGCAAAAGGAAUCAUUUAUAUACAUGAGCAACUAGCAAUAAUAUUUACACUACUAUCUAGCUUGCAUCACCUAAAGGUAAAUACAAGAGACUAUACAGUCACUAAUUAAUGUUAGAUUACACUAUUAGACACCUAAAAGUUGGCAUAACACGAAAAUUAAAUUAGAAAAAAAUAAAUCAGAACCAAGGAUGCCACGUCGGAUCCAUCAUGCACAAGUUCCUUGGAGUAAGGGCAGCUUCAACCAACUCCGCUACACCCCUCUGCACAGAUUGUGGCGGAUCCAUGCCAUUCUCCUCCU